Molecule: long non-coding RNA, 85825 nt
Filed under: Phoenix dactylifera (date palm)
Lineage: Eukaryota; Viridiplantae; Streptophyta; Magnoliopsida; Arecales; Arecaceae
Description: long non-coding RNA (PDAC_LNC004638)
Source: RNAcentral
AGUAUAUCAAAAGUUAACUACAUGGUAAUAUACUAACCCUUUCUACCAAAAAAGAAGCUUCUGUUAAAUGAAAGGCUGUGCUAAAAAAGACUGGUACAUUAUGUAUUCAAGGGGAAAACCAUAGAGCAUCCGGUAUUACUCUCAGAAACAAUCACAAAAAGAUCCAGAACUGCAGCUAAGAGGUGAGAAUCCACGUGGCAAAGGCUAGGGCAAUUAAGUAGGUCUCAUACAUCUUCACAGAGAAAGGAGAACAUCUGCAUAAAGUCAGGUUCAAUAAUAGAUAGUCUUCUUUUUGCAGAUGCAAAUUAUUAAGAAUAAUAUCCUGCAGGUUGUUAAUAAUGGAUUCAGAUAGUUUAAUCUCAGUUUUUAAUGGCGAGAUAACAUACUCGCGCAAAAGGAAACAACCCAGUGGACUGGCUUGACAAUUGGGAAGAGAGGCUGCCAAAAAGCUGAGGAGGAAUGCAAAUUUUUUUUAGGAUUUUCAGGACCUUGAUGCUGAAGGCAACUCAAUCAUGCAUUUUUAAGCAAAAAAAAAAAGAAGUCUUUUUUCUUUAAAGAAGAAUUUUUCCCUUGUUAGUUCCAUGUGGGGAGUACGAACCCUUGAGCCAGAUGGGUUAAUUGAGACAGAUUUGCAUCUAAUUGUUGAAGCAUGAAUCAUCUGAACAUAGACUACUUUGGACAGUUAGCAUGUUUGCAAUCCUCCUCCCCCCCCCCCCCAAAAAAAAAAAAACAAAUAAUAGGUGCUUCAAUAAAAGCACUUGUAUCCUAUUGUAUCUUUUUUUUUUUUUGGAAUCAAAGACAAGGGCAAUUAGAUAUUUUACAUGUCAUGGUGGUUGAGAUAUAUAAGCAAUUGCAUGAUUUUUUUUCUAAAUAGAUAGGAUCUAAAAUCAAUUUUUGCAGCAAUGUCUCAAAACAAGAGCCACUAAUAGCUAAUUCUCUGAGAAGAUCAUUGAAAUUACCUUGAUUAGGCGGGGGAAGAGUCCUGCUAUGAGUAGGAUGAUACGUGACAGGCGUGAGUUUCUGAAAAUAUACAUGAAAUUGUUACAGAAAAACACAAAAAGAAAAUUCUUUGAACGGUUGUGCAAAAAAUUUAAUCUCUAAGUCUAGCAACAAAAGUUACAGAUCAACAGCCAAGUAUGUGAAUAAUGUGCACAAGAAUGACUAACAGCCCCUUCAGUACACCCUACAUGCAAUUAAAGAAAUUGUUAAUAUCAUUAUGUGGGAUGACGACCGACAAGUCAGGAAUGUCCACUGUAUGGAACUAAACUUGGAAACAUCUUGACUAGAAAAUUGCUUCCAUUAACAUACAUAGCAUUGGAUAUCAGAAAAUAUGAACAGUAACACCCUAAAAGAGCCAUUCCUUGCUCAUUUCCCACUUCAGUCCACGUUAAAAUUAAUAAUGGCAUAACCAGGAUGCCCUAAACAAUUGGUCUCUAUCAACAUAUAAAGUUCCCCUGUAUCCAAACACCAUAACAAUGGUUAAAAAUCAUAGAAAAACCCACAUGCCAUGUCAGUUUCAUUCCUUCUCUAAAUCAUUUCUUAACUUUCUUCCUAUUAGAUUCAGCAUUUUAAUAGAUUCAAUUAAUGAAGACUCCUUAUUUCUCUUCCCCAUCAUCUACUUAAUUCUCUUUUUCUUCUGUUGUCCAACUGGUGAAACCACCGCCCCCCUCCCCACCUCCUAGAAAAUCUAGGGCUCGUUUGGUUCACGGAAAAAGAAGGGGGGGGAAGUGUGGUCAACGGAAAAGUAAUGAGAUGCCUCUUGUUUGGUUGGAGUUUUCAAAGGAAAGAGAUGGAAAAAUUAUAUUCCCAUGGAAAUAUGAUUCCCAUGUUUCAUGGAAAAGUUUUUUCCAUGAGAAACAUGGAAAAAUUACUUUCCCAUGGGCCGGAAAUCGCUCUAUUUUUAUUUUUUUUCCCAAAAAAUCCUUCAGCAUUAAAUAGGCAUUAAAGACCUAAUUUUUAUUAAGAGUAUAAUAGGAAUUACACAUAACUUUUCUAAAAAAAUAGAUGGUCAACCAAACAUAAGCACUCUGCAAAUCUGUCACUUUCCUAUUAUCAACCAAACAUGCCAAAAGUACUUUUCCAGACAUUUUCUUCCUAGAAAUCUGCUUCCUAGGAAUCAUAUUCUUAGGAGUAGAUAUAAUUUGAUCGUUAUGAACCAAUCCAAAAUCGUUGUGGACCGAACCAAUCAUUAGUUCCCAACCAUGGGUCGAAUGAAAUCCGAUCCAUAAAUCAGCAACUAAAAGAAUCAAAAAAAUGCUUCCCGUGAACCAAACGAGCCCCUAUAGUUUUUUAAGUUCUCUCAUUCAUUUGAAUUUUUUUAUAAAAAUUAUAUUAUAUGAUUUUUGUUUUCAAUUUUCUCACUCUUUUAAACUUAAUUUUUUAUUUACUCUUUAUUCAAUGCUCUAAGUACCAUUAUUUUUUUUAUUCUUAACACUUCAAUAUGGCAAGAUAUUUUAUUUUAUUUAUUCUCUAAUUUUUAUUUCAAUUCUUAAUAUUGGUGUUUUUGUUGUAGUUACAAUUACUAUUUUCUGUUAGAUUUCCUCCUCCCCCUACAUAGCGGGGCAUAUUGCUUGUAUUUAAUUAAUGCCGUGCCUGAUCCAUGAAACCAGGCAUUUAGUCAUCUAAACUCAAUUACAUGUUCAAAAUCAACUUCUAUUGCUAUCUGUUACAUCAUAUAUGCUUAUGCCUAGUGUCCACAUAACUUGAGCUGUUCUAGGAUUGAAACCACUUAAGCUGAACUUCUACCAUCAUGUCCAUCAAGAUGAUGGUUUUGCCUCACCUAGUCAUAUAUAAAAUGACGAUUUUAAGUGCUCUAACAAUUUCUAAUAGUACACUACUUGAUGCUCAAAACAGACACAUUAAACUAAAUAAUGACUAAGUAGAAGAAAAAGAGUUUUUACCACAAAAAAUUACCUUCCAAAGCCCAAGUGACUGGUGUUCUUGCAAAAGGAAACAAGUCACACAACAUUGAGCAAUGUCAUUUACUCAUAUGGAAUCUUCUAUUGGCUAACUCACUUAACCUAUGGGCAGCAUAAUGUAAUGAAACUAAAGGGCAAUAUACUUUCCAUUGGCUCAGUGCUAGUAGUAUUGCCAUUGACUGCACCUAUACUUCAAAUGUUACCUUGGUUUUCUCUAUGUUACUCAUGUUUUGCUUCUCUAGAUCCGUCCAAUUAACUUGAAUUCUCGAUUCAACAGCAUCUGAUGAUUCGCCCUUAAAGCAGUCAAUGCAGCUAAAAUUUUAGUUGCUAAGAGUAGUGGCAUUAUUCAUUUCAUUGCCAGAAGGGUUUUACCUGGCACCUUGAAAAUGAGAAGCUAAUUUAACACUUCAUCUGUUCUAACUAUAAGACCAUUUAGUUCUAAUGGCUUAUCUAAGAACUAAGACUAAUCUCAUUCACCAACUAUUCCUAUUAAGCACAAUCUUUUGCAGUGUUAAGCGACAUUAGCGAUUGGUGUCUAGAUUUCUCAAGGAAUUUCAACUGAGAAACUUCAAGAAAACUUACGUGGGCCAUAUUAAUAUCUUUUUUUUUCUAAACAUGCAAAGAUGUACGAUCAUAUAUAGUUAGUUGGCCCUAUAGUUCUCUAGUUUGAUAAAACUAUUAAUCACUUUGCAAAACGUUGAGUGAGAAUUAAUGACUUUCACAUAGAAGUAAUAACAUUGACAUGAAUGGUGAUGACAUGAUAGUUGGAUUGUUUGGUGCUAAGGACUAUGAUGAAGGGUUCAAGUGUCCAACAAAUCAAGAAACCCACAUUAAUAGUCCUCCAGUGUUACUAUAAGCAUUUUCUGAAUGCACUCUCGCUACUCGAACCAUGUAAGCAUAGGUAUUCCUCUCCUCAUUCUAGACCCUCUAAUAUGAAUUCAAGCAACUCUCCUUACGAAGACUCCUCAUAUUUUUGUUGUGCACACACAUACCAUCUCAUUUGGUUCUCUAUCACUUUGUCCUUAAUCAUGCAACCACACAGCACCUUUAAAUCACUGUUAUCCAGGCACUUUAAAAUCUGGGUUUUUGAAUGUGUCAGGUUGCAACGACAGCUAGAUUCUUCAUGAUACUUUUUGACAAGCACCGUGAAAGUAUUUUUCAAUCCUAAAAGGGCUCUAAUCUUGCUUAUUAUGUCUCUCAAGACUCUUCCAACAAACUUUGCUCAAGAAGGAACUCAUAAUCAACCUAAAACUCCAAGUACAUUCAAAACUUCAAAAAUAACAACCAAAAAGGUAAGUAAAGGCAUCAUAAUUUAGGAGUCAAAAGACCCUAAAUAUGACACCUAGGUACUUUCUAAUGACUCUUAAAGUUCUUUAAAAUGUUCGCUUAAGGAGUUUGGAGAGCAAGCAAGCUCUUUAGCUGGAUCAAAUCCAAAUUGUUGCAUGCUCUUGACACUAAUAUCUCAUGGACUUGAUCCUAAUGAAAUCUCGAGGGGUGUGAGAUCUGGGCUGUUUACUAACAUUCCCAAAUCAUAGCUUUAUGAGACCAAAGACAACAGAUGGUGAGAUCAUUAUCAAAGUAAGCCUAGGCAUUACUAUUAGCAUAGGCUGUACUCAUUUAGUAACAAGCAGAAAUCAUAUUCGAAGCGGCACACAAGAGAAAACCCCAUGAUAAGGAUGCGCGCCACAUAAAAGCAGCAUAGAAGGAGAAGUUUCCAUGUCCACAUUUUGCAUAGAGCAAUUCUUGUGGAAGAUAGUAAACAAUGGUUGGGGGCUGAUGUAUACAUAUCAAAACACACACGCACGCAUGCUUACAUGCAGCCAUGUUCAGCUUUACCAGAAAAGCAAAAAUUAUCAGUACUAGCUGAAAGGAAUCUAAAUAAGAAAAUUUUUUGGUGAUUCGGUUGAUCGAACAUUUGUUUGUUCCAGCACUCGUUUAUUUGUUCCUCAACCUUUUUCUUCUCUGAUUGAAGCUCAAUAUGCAAUUUCUAAUUAUUCUUCCAAAACAUAAUAUAAUUUCUACCUGCAAAGUACAAAUAAAUCUGAAUCCAAGAGGAAAGCUUCUUCAAUCGAAUCCAAAUCGGUUCCGACUAACCUUCACGGCCGGCUAAAGGUUUUCUAGUAGAACCUCACAAGAUUUGCCAAAAAGGUUUAAAAAAGAGCCCCAAAUAAAGAAUUUGAUGCAACACAGCAAUCUUGAAACGGUUCGAUAGAGAGGAAGAACUUACGGAAACAAUCCGGAUCAAAUAGAGAAAGAAGUCUAGAAAAAAGAUGACAGAGGGAAACAAUCCUGAUCAAAUAGAGAGGAAGGGCUUACGGAAGGCUGGGCAGAAGGAUCGGCGGGUCGGAGUUGGCUGAAGUUGUGAGGAUUGUAGGAGGGCCAGUCGCCAAGCAGAGACCCCAUCUGCGAUUCUUCAACGGCAGCACCCUUUAACUUCGCUCAGGCGAUAUAGGCCUUUUGAGAACUAAUGGGGCUUGGCACUGGGAGCAGAAACGAGGUCCUCUCUCUCUCUCUCUCGCUCGCUCGCUCGCUCGCUCGCGCUCGAGUUUUUAGUCCUUCUACUCGUCCUUUCGGCUUUCGCCCACAGAGGAGAAAACUCUCUCCCUCCAAGAACUCUUUUAUAAAGGGGAAAGAUGAGACCUGAGAGGGAAAGAAGGGACCAGAUGAAACUAAGGACAGCCAUGCGGUUUUCUCGUGAUUAGUUAUGGAUCUAUUUGCACCAAUUUUGAAGAACGGAGAAAGACUCACGCGGGCCUCACCCACGCUGUCUUUCCUGGAUGUCAUAUUAGUGGAUGGGUGUGAUCUUGCGUGUCCAAAAAGUGGUGCGUCAAAGUACGCACUUCUUCGUGUUUACCAUCACUCGGUCUUUUUAUUUUUUUUGUGAGAAAGAAUCAACCGUUCGAUCGCAUCUCGCACAGCUAUCGGAAUACUCCAACCUUCCUCUUCAUCCGCUGCACAAAUCUCGAAGCGGACUUUUCGGGAUCCAACGGUUUAUUUUGCCAAAUUAUUGGUGCAGCACUGGAUGGGUUAUUAUAUUUUUUUUUCCCAAGGGUUACCAUAAAACGCAGAAAAGCGUGAAAAGAAAUCAUUCAGCUGCCUUGCACCGGCGCACAUCGGCUUGCCAUUGUGAAUGAUGUGUCAAUAUUUUAUUAGAGCUCAAUGUCCUUGCUAUUAUAAAUGUCAAUAUUUUAUUAGAAGGCAAUCGAUUGGGGCAUAUAUAUUAAUUGAUGCUUUCGAGGUGUUUAUUAGAAUUAUUGCUCUCCAUAAAUUAUUCAUAAUGAAUCAUAUUUCUAAUGUAUCGCUUGGGUAUAUUUAAAUAUAGCUUUUCAGCCACGAACUGGGACAAAGGAAAUCCUGAUCAAAAUCAAGACCUUCAAGAAAAAUUCUAAAAUCCCUUUGUCCUGACUCUCACCGCUCCUCUAUAAAUUAAGAUUUAGUCUGAAGCACAAACGAUAACAGGGCAUUCAAAGGGUCGUGGCACAAAGAUAGCCCCAACUCCAUUAGUGGCUUGGCCUACGUUCAUUAAGAUGGAUAUUGUUCUUGAAAAGAAUUAACAUGGAUAGUGACCAUGGCACAUUGUUAGUUAAAGAACUUAUAACGCCUAAUUGGAUGUGGAAUGGAGAUUUGUUGGCUUCUUUGUUCUCAGUUGAUAUGAUGACACAGAUUUGCACUAUUCCUAUUGCACAGGGUCUUUGGUGUGAUCGUAGAAGUGUAUCCAAUUCUUAAGCAGCCAAAUGCAUCGUUUGUGAACACCUCCUUUAAAUGGAUUUGGAAGUCAGAUGUGCCAAUGAGAGUCAAAAACAUUUUGGUGGAAGCUAUUGUGGAGAAGGUUGCCUUGUAAGGAGCAGCUAUGUAUACUCUUCCCCUAGAGCAUCAGUUCUGUGAUCUAUGUACCACUGCGGUAGAGGAUUGCCAUCAUGUGAUGCUGAGAUGUUCCUUUGCAAAAGCCUGAUGGCAGCAACUCACUGUCAUAACUGGGGUCAGGUUUCACCCUAAUUCUUUGCCGGAAUUGGAGCAAGCUCUCUGCAACCAGGCAGAGAAAGGGUUGAGACACCUCAUGGCAUGUCUUGCCUGGUUCCUCUGGAGGGCCCGCAAUGAACAGAUAUUUCAACAUUCCUCUACAACUCCUAACCAAUUGGUGAUGAAAGCUAUAUAAGGCUCGUUUGGUUUGCGAAAAAAGAAGAGGAAAAAAUGGUCAACGAGAAAGUAAUAAAAUGCCUCUUGUUUAGUUGGAGUUUUCAAAAAAGAGAGACAGAAAAGUUGCAUUCCCAUGAGAAUAUGCUUCUCACAUUUCAUGGAAAAGUCUUUUCCAUGAAAAACAUGGAAAAGUUACUCUAUUUUUAUUUUUUUCCAAAAAAGCCCUUCAGCAUUAAAGAGUCAUUAAACAUCUAAUUUUUAUUAAGGGUAUAAUAGAAAUUAUACAUAAUUUUUCUAGGAAAAUGGAUGGUCAAUCAAACAUAAGCAAUUUGGAAAUUUGUCACUUUUCCAUGGUCAACCAAAUAUGCCAAAGAUAAUUUUCUAUGCAUCUUCUUCCUAGGAAUAUGCUUUCCAGGAAUCAUAAUGCUUUCCGCGAACCAAACGAGCCCAUAUUUAUUACCAAAUCAUGCUCAAUUUGGGGCACCAUGUUCAGCUGGAGAACCGAUCAUUGCACUGGAAAGCUUUUAACUCUUAUCAAGGAGCAACCAGGUCCCUCAAGCUUGUGCGUUGGCCUCCUCCUCCCAUGGGAGUUCUCAAACUGAAUUUCGUGUUGGAUAAAUUGAAAUAUUUAAAUAAAAGAGGGAGAGAGAAGAAAUGAGAGGAAUGGCCAUCGGAUGUGUACGGUCUCUUCUCAGAAAUAAAUUAAAUAAAAAGAAGAGAGAGGAAGGGCCAACGGAUGUUAUGGUUAUUUUUUCAAAAAAAAACUUUUUUUUUUUACAGUAUCUCUAUUGGGUAGACUUUAAUUUAAAAUUAAAGUGUCCUGACUUUACAAAUGUGCUUUUGCACGGUUCACUAUUAUGGGACAACUGAUGGUAUUAAACUUCAGUUUAAACUUAAGAGUCAUAUAUUUAUGGAUGGAAGAGUCAUGUAUUUAUAGAAAAAUCAGGUAUCCAUGAAAAAGUGUCUUUGCACCUAUUCUCUUGUGACCAAAAAUAGAAAUCUCUCCCUUUCCUUCUAACUUAAAACUUUUAUUUUUUCUUCUGGCUUCUAAAUAGUUUUCUAGAAGGUUUUUAAAUUUUUUUUCAGAAUUGCCAUUUGCAGAAUUCCAUGAAGCUUUAUUAUAUCCUAGGCAUGAUUUGCCAUAAACCCGCUAGCAAACUUAUUUGAGUAAAGAUAAAUAUCAUCUAAAAGAUAGUAAUUUAUAUGCCUCAAAGUCUUCAAUUUUUCUAUUAUUUUCUUCAUUUCAAAUCACUCUUCCCCAACAAUUCUAAGGUGAUAUUCGCGAUGGCUUCCAAGUCAAGUGCUACUUUUAAGUCAUGAAUCAAGACUUUGUCAAAUUGGAACAAUUUGAUGGAACAACUUUACUUGCUAAAAGGACAAGGUUGUUUCGCUGUGUGGUUGGAAUGGCAAUUUUGUUGUCACAAGACCAUCCACCUGGCACCUGGUGAGAACCUCAAUCAACUCUCAUGUCUUAAGAUGCAAAUAAAAUAAAAAAAAAAUAAAACUGCUAUAUAGAACCGAAAAGGAACAGAAAAUUCUGGUAUAGCUUUUCCAACUCCAGUAGGCAUGGUUAAUUCCCUAUAAGGCAGGAUAGGUCUUAAUUUGUGUGUAAAAAUUCAUAGUACCACAGGUCAACUGAAAAUGCGGUGGUUUUUUUUCAGAAAAACGAAUAUGCACCCGCCUCCUUUGAUUACCUCUUUGCUAGUCAAGAAUACCCUAAUGUAACAAUCAGUUGCCCAAAUAUUUAAAACUAAGCAUUGUUUCGCUCCAAUGUUUAUUAAAAUCAUAUUGUAACAUCUCCCCACUCUAUUUUUCUGCAUAAAGUUAAUACAAAAAUUGCAUAAUGUUUGAAAGAGGCAUUCCCAGAGUCCAACUUCGCCACAUUUUCCUGUGGACAACCAAUUAAUGUCUUCACCGAAGCUUUUUCUCCGCCAUGUUAUGAAUGAUUUUUGCUUGGUUUUUUGUUGCUUCAUGGGCACCUCAGCCAAUAAGGGAUAGGAAAUUAGAAAACUUAUUAUUACAUAACAGAUAGUUUUAUGUAUACUCAAUAAUCAAAAAAAUUGCUAGAAUAUGUGUUUGCAUGAGUGCAUGGGCACUAAGUUGCGCAACAAUACUGCAAAGGAAAUUAAGAGCGGAAAAGUCUUUAAGCCAGAGAGGAAUGCCCUUGGACCAGUUUGCAAACCGUAGAUUAGGUAUGAACAAUUUUAGAUUGCAGUUAAACAUUUGGAGCUUGUUUGGUUGGAAGGAGUUAGACUUUGAAAUGAAAUAAAAAUAAGUGACUUUCAAUCCAACCGUUUCGUUGAGAGGAGUUUCAUUUUCAUUCCGAUUCCAAAAGAAACGGAAAUACUCCAAUCCCUCCAAAACACAAUCCCUAUUCUCUCCUAGUAUUCAAAUUCCAUUCCAAUUUCAAUUCUGAUCACGAACCAAACACAUCGGAGGAUAUGGCCAUUCCUAUUUUUAUUCCAAUUCAUUCUGAUUUCAAUUCCAAUCACGAACAAAACACGCCCUAGAUAUGAUUCCUAUUCCACUGUCCUCUUCAUGUAAGUAGGCCUCGAAUGUAAAAAAAGAUCAACUAAUCCUACAAAAAUAGUCACUUCCUCUAUUGAAAUGAGUGAAAUAUACAUAUGUAAAAUAAUUAGUUUCGUGCUUCACCAUCCCUUGAGAUCAGAGAGAGGAGCAAGAGAGAGAGAGAGAGAAAAAGAUGAAUGUGGCUAUUGUUUAUGAUGGUUACAUAUUAUACAUUCAUGCUACACACACAUUAUAUAUAUAUAUAGGGCAUAAAAAUUAUAUAAUUUACCGAUCAUUGAUUAACCAAUAUGUUCUUCAACUUGAUUUAUGAACCUUUCUGCAUCCAACCACCAUUCACAAUCUUCACCCAUGUCCUCCUGCCAAACAGAGCGGAUAGGUUAUGUUGAAUUUUGCCAAAAGAUAAUACAAUUUUCUCACAGAUUUGUACGCUCGAGGAAGAUAAUAUCAACUGAAUCCCAUAUGAGUAAGAAUCUAGCUUGUCAAUAGAAAGCCUUACUUGUUGGUUGCAUCUAUAAGGUCAUGCAACCAACAAGAGUGCUAUAGAUCAGACCGGAUUUCAAUUGUGUUGACUCAUGUUGAUGGCACAAAAGAUGGAGCGGAUUCUGCUCACGUGUUGUACAUUAUGGUCAAGUAUCUUAGAAUGGCAUGCAAUAAGAUUCACUAGCAAGCAUUAUAUUUCUGAAACAGAACAAUGGAGUAUACUAGCAACAUUAAAAAACACAAUGAACAAAAAUAAUACAACACAGAACGACAUUUAUCUACAUUUGAAAUUCUUUCCCAUUUAGUGCCCUUUCUCUGUAAUUGGGGUUUGUCUGUGGCUGGAAAUGUUCUAACCUAAUCCGACCCACCUGUGGCUAAACAGUCCUUGUCAAGUCCAAAUGGCAUUCUAGUAUAGAGCAAAACUGCGAUUUAUCAUACUUGCAAAUUAUGAAGAACAUACAUGUGGUUUUUCUGGGGUAGCACAUACUGAAUGAAACUAAACCUAUUUCAUUAUUUUCAAUCAAGACAAGCCCACAUUGUUGCAUGCAAAUUUAGGUCAAUUUUUCUGGAGACCGCAUUCUUAAUGUAAAAUUGUUCUUAAAUGUUCAAGUAUGGAUGCAUGACUCAAUGACUACUAUAAACUGCUAAGAAUGAGCAUAACUAUUAUGUGUUAUAUGAAGCCAGAUCAGCUAGUUUUUUAGUAGCGCAUCAGAUUUUCAAAAUUGUAACAACAGUGGUCUGAUAAAGGAUCAAUAAACCAUGAAGGAAUAGCUUCUGAGAACUGUGCUUGAUUCAUGUUCUGACAUCACCUGCAGGUUCGGAAAGCUUUAAUUUUCAAAAUAAGUCAUUGCACCAAACAGUGUCUAUUUGCAUUAUGAACUCCUUCGGACUUUGUUGAAUAUUUUUAGCAUACCAUCUCUUGUAAUCUAUUAUAGAAACACAUUAAAACACCCACUAUUUUUCCGAAGUUUGCCACUCCUUCCAUUGCAGUCCAAGCAGACAGAACUUAGAUCUUAUUGAUCCCCAUAUUCGAUCCAAACUUCUACAGACAAUAAAUGCGUAAACAAUAAACUUGAUCAUCUUUGAUGUUCUAGCGCUUCUUCAGUAUUUUUUUAAAAAAAACAGAAAAACACUGAUAAGGUGAAGAAAAAUGUAAUGCUACGACUGCAAAGCUUGAAUAAAGCAACUAUAUAUCUGGAAAGAAAAGUUGCAUGCUUCAGUGCAAACGUGCUUUGUGUCCAGCAGUGUGAACCAAGUAGCCAUAUGCAGAUUACUCUUUGAUGCUAUGCAAAUUAUAGUUAGCUGAGCAAAUAAAUUUUUAACUGGACCCAAACCAGUAAAGGAAUACCAAAUGUGACAUUACAACUUGCCCCAGAUGUCACUGCCAAGAACCAUCAGAGCUUCAAACUAUAUGUUGCUAGAAUGUAAAAUUUUGGUAAAAGAUGCGAAAUCACAAAAAAAACACAUAAUGAAUUGGCAUACUCACCAAUUUGCUUAACUCAGCUGCAUUUCUCAUUUUCUCAAUGCAGUCAGCAUAUCUCAUGGCUUCUUGCCACCAGCUGCUGUCCUUCUUGCAGCUGUCAGUAAUCCACUUACCAUUAUCACACGAAUUGCUUUCCGUGUUAUUUCCAUCAAACUGAGUAUUGAAACCUAUGUCCAUAAUCUCCCUACAAUUUUCUGUAUUUACUGAACUGAAUAGUGCCUUGCUGUCAGGAAUCACAUCCCAUGGUACAGGACGCAAUGGAGAACGGUAUCCUAGUGCAAAAUCAUUUUGUUGGGAACAUAUAAAAGACAUCACAAACUUAGAAGGUAAAUUUAUAUAUGAACCAUCAGUAAAUUGAGCUAGUAUCAUCUGCAUACCUCUACAAUCAGGGUCAUAGCAUUUCUGGUAAUAGCCAGCCCUUUGAAAAUCAAUGAUGUACAUGACUGAACUAGCAAAAUAAUUAGGUAUUGUUUGUUAAUGCAUAUAAUAAAGCAUAAAAAAAUGAAUAGAGAAGCAUCUAGUGACCCAUGAAACUUAAUCAAGAAGCCCAUUUGCACUAACUUGGCAAUUGGCAUAUCUCAUGAAUUAUAAAUAGAGUAAAAUAAACGAAAGUACAAUCAACAAAUACUUCAAAAUACAAGAAAAUGAAUGCAGAAACGUAAAGAAUGACUAAGAAAAAUAGUAGCACUUUAUCUUAUGGACUUCCUACAUGCACAACUAUAUGAUCAUAUAAGAGAGCAUUUCCUCGAGAGCUGGUCUGUUUUGCAUAAAAGCAACACUGCCCAAGGCCAGUCCCAAGCCUCGAGGGAAAAAGUGGAAGAUUAAUAUCAGGUUGAGAAAUAGUUGCAAAAAGCACGUCAAACUAUGAAAAGGAUCCAACUUAAGACAUCAUGAGUAUUAGGAAGUCCUUGAUAUAUGUAGCACGCAAUAAUCUUGUAACAACUCAAGACCUCACCCAAAAUGGCUAGUCGGAAGAUAUUAUUUGGGUUCCUUGAUCCUGUACAAGUAUCCAAGAUCUACCCAGCGAAUAACCAAUGUGAGACUAAACACACGCCCACACGGGUCCUUACAUACUCCCCCUGUUCAAGCCUUGACGUCCUCAUCAGGCUAAGGGUUCAAAUUCAUUCAAAUCUAAUCACAAACACCACGAUCGGAUUCAUUCAAUGAAUCCGUGCUGCAGUAUCCCCUAGCCUGCAUAGGUUAUAGGCCAGAUCCGCUCUGAUNNNNNNNNNNNNNNNNNNNNNNNNNNNNNNNNNNNNNNNNNNNNNNNNNNNNNNNNNNNNNNNNNNNNNNNNNNNNNNNNNNNNNNNNNNNNNNNNNNNNNNNNNNNNNNNNNNNNNNNNNNNNNNNNNNNNNNNNNNNNNNNNNNNNNNNNNNNNNNNNNNNNNNNNNNNNNNNNNNNNNNNNNNNNNNNNNNNNNNNNNNNNNNNNNNNNNNNNNNNNNNNNNNNNNNNNNNNNGGAUCCGUGUUGCAGUGUCCCCUGGCCCACAUAGGUUAUGGGCUGGAUUCGCUCUGAGACCAUUUGUCACAACCCAGGACCUCACCUAAAAUGGCUAGCCGGAAGGUAUUAUUUGGAUUUCUUGAUCAUGUAUAAGUACCCAAGAUCUAUCCAGCGAAUAACCGAUCUGGAACUAAACACACGCCUGCACGGGUCCUCACAAAUCUAGUCCAAUUAUAGCACAAAACGAGCAAGGGUUCACUAAGUCAUCACUUGUAAAUGACACACUGUAGCAUGACCCAACUGAUGAAAAAUGAGCAAGUAGCAAGGUCAUCACCUAUAAUCGAUGUGCCAACUCAGUUGUGAUGAGAGAUGGGAGAGACAUUUAUAGGCUUAAGGUCUCUCUUAGAACUAAUGCGGCAUAAUUAUUAGAUGGUACGAGAACAAGGUAAUCACCUCGAUUGAGGAGAAUGCGAAGAAGCUAAAUGUUCAAAUGAUUUUGGUUGUCAUUUCCAUUUCAGUUGGAGAAUGCAGUCCAAUGUUUGGGGUACUAGAAGAACGUUUAACUUGCUACUUAGAAUGCUAGAAUUUUGACAGGAAAGAGUUGAGAGCUUGCGGACAUGAUGGGAUGAAGGGGAAUCAAUAUUGGUUGUUUAUAAGAAAGAAAAUUUAAGGUUGAAUGUCCAAGGACAUAGGCCAUGGUCAUGAAAUUUAAAAUUUGGGAAAUGAUGAUUUUAAAAAAAAUAAAACCAAGGUAGUGGUGGUCAAAGAAAUGAUGGAUAAAGGCAUAGAUGCUAAAAAUAAAUAAAUACCAGACAAAUAGCUAUUAAGAUAGUUUUUGAUGGAGAGGUUAUUGUAGUAAUCAAUGUGCAUGCACCAAAAGUAGGUUUAGCAAAAAGAAUGACAUAGCAUUUCUGGGACAAGAAUGAAAUGUGAGAUAUAUUAGAGGGAGAGGAUGAUGUAGAGAAUGAAUUGAAAAGGCAUGUAGGGAAGAUUGGUACAGCAUAUGAGAGGGUACAUGGUGGAUGUACGUUUUCUUAUAUAAAUAUAAUGGGAUACUUGAUUCUUCAGUUCACAAUGGCUUAUGGUCAAGAAAUUGUCAAUACAUAUUUAAGAAAAUAAACAAACAUUUACUUGUUUUUACAAUAGAUUAAAUUUGUCACUACUAUAUUAUGUUUUCCAAUGAAGAAGGGAUACAUUAUCUUGCAAAUAUUGCAAAGUAAUGCUAGAAUAAAGCUGAAAACACAGAAUAAUAUAGUAUUUUUGGAUAUCCAUAUCAGUUGUAUGAAGAGAAGAAAUGGAUCUAAUAAAAUUCCAAUGAUAGUGGGAUUUAAAAGGGAAGUUGCCGUAACUUUUAGGAUGAAUUAUUUAAGGAAAUCUCAACUUAAGAACUAAACCAAAAAAAAUGUGAGAAAUGUGGCUGAUUAUAUUAUGAAAGCAGCAAGAGAAGUUAAAGGGAGUAGAAUGGGAAAAAUUAUGCACAUAAAGAAACCUGACAGAUGACUGGUCAGAUAGAAGCAGCAAUUCAGUAAAGAAGGUUUGCUUUAUACCAUGGCAAUGAUGAAUGAUAUCAAGGGCUUUGAAAGAUAUAAGAACAUAGAGAAAGAUGGGAAAAACUAACAAAGUCUAAAUAUGUAGCAUAUGAUAAUUUAAAUCAUUGGUUAGGUUAGGUUAGGUUAGGUUUAGGAAGUGAGAAUGAUAUUUAUAAGUAGCUAAAAUGAGAGAGAAAUCUAAAGAUAUGGAUCAAGUUAUAUGGAUUAUGAAGGAAUAAAAAAGAUAAAAAACAAUUUCAAUAAAAUAAAAAAAGAUAAAAAGCUAUUUCAAUAAACCAUUAGAUGAAAGUGUUAAAUAAAUGAUGAUUCUACAAGAGAAAUUUGUACAUAAAAGGCAUGGUUAUAGAGUUAUCGAGUUCCUAUUUGUACAAUUUAUAAAGUUGAAGUGGAGAUAACUUUGAAAAGGAUGCAAAAGAUUAUUGUAAUAGGAAAAUCUAAGAUGUUGAUUUUGUUUUGAAAACAAAAGAGAAAUUAGGUUAAUUUGCUGUACUAAUUUAAUGAGGCUUUGAAAACUAAGAAGUUGCUAGGUGACUAGUGGUGUUGCGGUACCACCUAUGAGUGAAGUUGCAUAAAACUGCUCCAAUUAUUGUGUCACAAAAUUAUAUGACGCUUCAUUAAGAUUAAGAAAAUCUAUGCCAAUCCCAAAAAAUCUUAAUAUCUUAUGCUAGAGAAAUCAACAAUGGAGAUUAUCUUUUUCACUUAGAAUAUUGAUAAAAAAUAUAGAGAGAAAAGGAAAAAGGUCUAAAUAUUGCCUUCAUCAACAUAAAGAAAGCUAACGGUAAGGUAUUAAGAAUUUCAUGGGAUUUAAAGAGGAAGUUGUGCACAAAUGUUUCAUUGAAGUUAUUGUCAUGCCUGCUGGAGCAAUGGUAGGAAUUACUUGUUAUAUCACAACAAUUGUAUAUUCCAAUCACAAAGGUCUAGCAUUAAGUAUAAAUAUUAAGAUUCUAUCUUUUCAUUCUAAUUAUAGGUGAUUCACUGCACAUAUAUAGGAAGAUGUACGAUGGUUUUAUACCAAGGAACGAAAAAAGGAGGAUCAAACCUGCAUUGACGAAGGGUGGGUACGGUAAGAGCCAAACUGAAAAUUGUACUGAUGAUGGGCUUCAAUGGGUAUUCAUAGGUACACCCCAAAAUUCAUGAUAUGGCUUUUUUGUCUUCCACACUCCAGUUUAGGGUUUCUUAACAAGUUUUUUUUUUUUGACUUGGACUAUUUUUGCAAGGAAGAAGGCAGGAGUAUUGAGUUAACUAUCCUAGCUAUAGUUUCUUGUGCCUGUUGAAGUAAAAAACAUGCAUAAUUAUCACAUCAAUAACAUAUUAUACACUAUCCAAAUACACAUAUAAUUUUUUAUAUUAGGAUUUUAGAUUUUUUUAAGACGAGGUAGAAGCACAAGUUCACUGCACACACCUACUUCAUGUGCACAGAUGUUUCACUUCGUCUUUUGAAGAUUUAAUUCUCAAUUUUAACAACAUAUAUUUUCAAUUAAUUAAAUAUAAAGGUUAAAAAAUAUAUUUUUUAAAAUGCAUAACCUAUCCAAGAAAUCAACAUAUAAUUAUAAUUUCUAAGGAAUUUAUAAAUAACUAAUUCAUAAAAUUUCUAAAUUUGAAAACACAAAACAAAAUUCAGUAACCCAGAAAAUCGCAUAUAAUUAGCUAGCAUAUGAUGCAUAAUUCUUUUCAAAAUUAUAACAAUUUGAAUAUUUUAAAAUAAUAAAUUCAGAAAUUAAUUUAAAACAUUUACAUAAUCAAAAAAAUAUCCUUAUGUAGGGAAUUUGUAGAUCAGCCCAACAUAUACAUCAUAUAAAAAUAUCAACUUGAACAAAAGUGUCUUUGUCGGGUUAUUUUUGAAUUCAUUUAAUUUAUGGGCUUGAUCUCUAGCGGAGCCUGAACAGCUAAACUGACUCCAUUGUUGGUAUAUGAAAUUACAGGUGCAAAGAUGCUACCAAUAUUUUUCCAAGCUUUACAUAUUAUUUUUAAAAUUAUUUUUCAGUAAAAUUGAUUUUUAAAAUAAAUGACAGUAGAGGAUAUAAUUCACUGGGAUUAUACCUACAUCAUAUCUGGAAACCAACUCAAACAAACACCAUUUGAUUGGACUAGUUCUAGAUUAAACUGAUAUUUUGGUGUAGGUUUUAGGGUUAGCCGCAAAACCCCAAAAUCCACAUAUUUGUCUUAGACUCAUGGUUUAGAGUAUGAAUCCAAACACUACAUGACAUUUAUACAAAAUUUCGAUGGAGUCACCUGUAUAUUUAGCAAUUAUUUCGGGAUUUAUCCCAGAUUUUAAAAAUAAAAAAAGUGAGGGAAGAAACAUCUUACCUUGAGUUCUUCAAUUUAGAGGUCUCAAAAUCUUUGAUUUGAAGAAAAAGAAAUACAAAGGCCCCCUCUCCUUGCUCUCACUGCAGAAGCCCAACAAAAUGCCAAAUGGAGAAAGAGGGCUUCAGAAGGGCUCCUAAGUGGGAUCGCCCGGUCUUGCCCUUACCGGUAGCUUCAAGGGAAAAACAAGGCCAACCGAAUUACUCAAUCUUAGAGCAAUUCGGGUAAUUCAGUGUACAAUUUAAUUGGUUUCCCCUUGAAUCGAGUCUCAGUGAACCAAGACACCUUUGGAUCCUUACAAACUGGUGGUUUCAUUUGGUUAGUUCCUCAAUCCUUGGUUUAUAUUAAUGCAAGUAAUAUAGUGUUGUUUUGCAUUUAUUGAAGAAAGCCUAAAAAGAUAAAGGACUUUAAAAAUCAAGAGAGUAACAACAAAGUAUAUGAAAUCCAAUUCAGUGAAUAUAGAAAUGAACUCCAAGUUAAGAUUGACAAACAAGAGACGGCACUAUCAAUCAGUUUCAUUUUGAGGAAUCUGUUAUACAAAACAAGGUUUUAAAUUCCGUGGGACGAGGCUAUCCCGGUUUUCCUAUGGAACAGGAUGCGCUGCCAUCUUGCCCCAUUCCGAUACUAGGGACAGAGAAUGUCCAAGACAUGCCGAUCGGGAUGCUGGGAUGAUGGCUAGACGGCCUUGUGUCGACACAUGGGAUGGUACGCUAUCUCGGUGUCCUACGGGACAUCCUGUCGGGAUGUGAAUCCUUGAUGCAAUAUAUAAUUAUAAGAUAAAUGAAGAAAUGUGCAACAAAAUUAGAAAUGGUUAUGCAGUCAAUAAAUACCUUGGCAACCUAAAUAGAACAUAUCAAGGCCUCGAAGUACUAUAAAGAGGGUCUAGGAAAAGUUAAAUAUACUAGGAAUGACAAUGUGUAGAUGAAAGUGGGGUAAAACAAGGAAAAACACACACACACACACACAUAUAUGCAUAGAGAGAGAGGGAGAGAGGGAGAGGGGGAGAGAGAUGAGUAUAUAUAAGGUGUAGGACUUGUGCAAAUUUAAAACAGAGUGAUGGAGAAUUAAGAGGUACGGCAUGUAUUUCAAGAAUCCAAGGGGAGCUGUAGCAAGGAAGGUACUUUAGUUUUUGUAAAAGAAUGCAAGAAGAUGGGAAGAGCUAGGCAACAUGAUGGAUGUUGUGAGACAGGAAGGAGAAUGCUCUAAAUAACAUCAAAGUCGGCCCUAAAAAAGAAUGCUUGGUGAAUGUGGAUACAUAAAGCUGAGGCCAGAUAGUUAAGACUAGGCUUAACAGUCAUGAUUAUGGUUUUAUGUAGAGGGCAUUACCAUGAUAAGGAAACAUCAAAAAGAAUAUAAACAAACCAAACUACAACUUCAUAAAGUAAACAAUAAAUUAGCUCACAAUGGUAAAUGCAUCAAAUGUUGGGUUCUAGACAUGCUGAGGGCAGUCCAAAUUCAUAAACAGGUUACAGCCAAAGCAAUCUGAAGUUCGGAUAGAAGAUGUACUAUGCUAUUAUGAUUAUGAUGAUCAAACUGCAGCAUCCAGCCCUAGGCUAAAACAUUAGAUAUGGCUUUAGGGAUAUUAAUAUUACCAUACAUUUAAUUCAAUUCAUGUUAUUGAACAAAGCAAAUUCGCAGGGAAGAAUUUAAUUUGACUAUUCAUCCGUACUACAAUUUAGAAGUCACUCGAUGCUAGAAUCAACAGCAUGAAGUAGUUCAUCCCAAAAUUAUAGUGUGCCAUUGUAGUGCUUCAGUGAAAAAACACUUUAAUAAUGAAUUAAUGUUUCUCGGCAACCAUAGGUUUUUAUAGUUCAAGCAAACAUGACACAAGGAUUAUGGAAUUCCUUUACUUAGAAGAUGUACCUGCCACUAGAAUACCUUAUACAGAAGGAAUUAUCAUACUUCAUAAUGAAAAACCCCAAUCAGAGAGCCUCAUGUUUGGAGAUCAGAAAAACAAUAUUAUCAUGAGAACCUCGCAAAGAUAAAACAAAAGAAGGGGCAGCUAUAUCAAUAUGAACAGGGCCACCAAGUUGCCCUGCUUCACUUUACAACAAAGGGUGAAUUACCACUAUAAACAAGACCACAAAGAUGACACCAUGUGCAUCCUUUUUAAGUGUCAACAUGUAGCAGUAGUUGAAAAAUAACUUAAAUAAUUUGUCAAAAGCAAGUAAUCUCUAGGAACAUAAGCAUCCAAGGAAGAUGAAAUUAGAUGAAAUCAAAUAAAGAUGAGAUCCGGCUCCAUAAACAUAUCUGAAUAUACUCUUUUUUUAAUAUCAAGUUACAGUAUUGGUGGCUGCAUUUUUUGAUCAAGAAAAGUCAAAAGCCAGAGGCUAAAUAACUGCUCGCAACCAUAAUUAUAUAAGUCAUAAAAGUCAAGAUUGCUAGCUGAUAGUAAUAAUUGAACCACCAAAAAUCAGUUAGUGACCUUGUGACCAAGGUACGCAGUACCGACUGUACCGAUGUACCGGUGGGCAUCGGUACCGGUACGGUACCGAACCAAACCGAGCCGAACCGGUACAGUACCGAUGGGGCUAAAAGCCAAAAAGAAUUUGGAGCAGGUACGGACUGGUCGGUUCGGGCCGGUACGCGGUCGGUACGGGCCGGUACCGGUCGGUACGGUUCGGUACCGAAUUAUGUAGUUAUACCAUACCAGUAGGAUCCGGUACCGACCCGUACCGACCGGUACCGACCCGUACCGACCGGUACCGACCCGUACCGACCGGUACCGACCCGUACCGACCGGUACGGCAGACCAUGCUUGUGACGCAUUCAUCCACAAAUUUAACUAGAUCAUUAUCUGUUUGAAUUAUAAUCAUUGUCGACAGUACAAGGUAGACAAAGUCAUAGAAGGACUAGAGCAGAGCAUGAUACUUUGACUAGUUUGUUCCUUGUGUACUUGGACUUGAAAGUUUUUAUUAUUAUUAUUUUUUGCAAUGAGAUGGCUGAAAAUUGUUUUUCCCCUCAAAUGAUGCAAAUAAAUCUCUAGCAAGAUACUGGUUAAAGGAGUUCAGCUACUAUCCAAUUAACAAGCUUCCAAUUCAUUCACCACCAUUCAAAUCCCCAGCUCAAUUUCUACAACCAGAAUAAGGAUUUAUGCAGAAAAAAGAAUUGAUGUACUUCCCAAAUUCAGGCAGCAUUAAGGAAAUAGUCAAUAAAAUCAUUGAUAAGAAAGAUCAUGUUCUGGACAAGUUGUUUUUGCUAACCGUCAGUGUCCAGAAAAUGGGACAUUGUAAAUGACCAACUAUUCAAAGAAUAGAGUAAGUCAGGUUUUUCAAUUUUUUGGUCGAAAGAAGAGUUCAAGACUUCAUCACUGCUAGGAAAUGGCAGCGACCGACCUCCAUAGACAAAUGGAAAAUUCAGAUGGCACAAGGACAAUAAACCAUGUUAAGAUUGAACAGAUGGGAAGAAAGAGGAAGAAGAACAUAGAGCUUAGAGAAGGAAGGGCACUUGGAGCCAAAAAGCGAUACGUGAAUGCAGCAUAAAAAUGAGGAUGCAUUAGAAGAAAAGUGAGUUUUGAGAUCACUUAAUUUUUAUAUCUUGUCAAAGUGUGCAACAAGUUAACAGCUAAUGGGUGUGCGUCACACUAAAACAUUAUAAGAAAAUAUUGAGAUGCUAAUAUAAUUAUACACAUAUGGAAGUAACUGAACAACUUUGAAGUUAAGAUUCAAAAACACUGUUUCAUUUUUGUUUCCAACCAGACAAAAUGUGUUUUGGCUACAGGGUUGUUUUGGUGGUUGCACUCUAGUUUUGUUAGUUUCAAUUGGCAAUUGUGAAGAAAUAUAAAAAGAAGAUUAAAAUUAAGAAUAUUAAAAAAUAUGAAAAAAAAUAAAAUCAUUCAAGAAUAGUAAACUAGAGUCAUCAUUUAAUGAACUAGUAUAUGUUAGAACCUUUAACAAAUUAAUUUGAUAGUUUUGCAUUGAAAUAAUUAAAAAUAUUUUUUUUCCAAAAUAAAAUGCCAUUGCAUAAUAUUACUGGCAAUCUAGCAUCUGAUGAUAGAAAUGACUUGAAAAUUUGAGCUUUAGAAAGCCAAACUUCGGACAUGAAAUUUUCUUUUCUUUGAACCUCUUAGGAACAUACUACGACAACAUUUUUCACCAAAUGGUGUCAAUACUUGCAAAAUUCAAAUUUAAUUCAAAGAAACCAAUGCCCAACAUUUAAACAAAUGAAGAAAUGCAAAUACUACGAACAAAUAACCUAUAAAUUUGUCACUGCAAGGUAGUUUUAGUUGAAAGUGACCCCGACAUUGUAUCAGAUUCAGGCUGAAACUGCAACUUCCAAUUAUGGUUUCUAAUGAGUGAUGAAACAUCCAUUCAAUGAACAGUUCAACUCUGUGUUGAUCAAAACUUCUGGUUAGCCCUACUAAAAACCAAUCACAAGGACAUAUCAUAACAACUCGUAUUGAAAACUUUAUUUAUGCAUCUGUGUUCAUAAUUUUGCCUUUUGGGGAUGGAAAAGUCAGCUCAUAAUCUAGACAAUACAAUUAACUCUUAAGUCACCAUAGAUGAUUGUCAUUUCGAAAAUUGAAGUUCACAAUUUUCUUAAAUUGCAAAAAGGAAAAUGCCAAUUACACCCUUAUUUGGUGUAGAAGUUAAGUUCAAAAUGCAUAUUUAACAAAAAAUUAUAAAAAGAGAGUCCCUACGCACGGUACUUAGUUUUUGUACAGCAUUGAAGAAAGGAUGGUAAAUUAAACAGUAAGUCUUGAAAAAUAGCAUUGGUGGAAAUAAAAAUAAAGAGAACAGUACAAUCAUACAAUGUAAAAAAGGUUACCGUGAUUGCUUUUAUGUUCUCUUCCAAUCCUCUCACAAUAUCUACUUUUUGACAUACUAUAGACCAUCAAACCACAUGCUGAAAACCAAUACCAACUCCGAAUUCUUCCUGUAAUAGCAAAAAAGAACAUAACACAAGAAUGUUUAGUACUUUAAUUAAUUCAAUCAUACCAAAGUCAUAAGUUUUCAGUAAGAUCUGAGAAUUAUGAUGUAUUUGAAUACCGAUAGAUGCUAAUAUUUAGCCCUUUUAGCUAUAUAGAAGUAAUAUUUAGAAAAAGAAUUAUAUAAACUUGCACACAUACUCAAAAAAGGAAAAACCCAAGGCUUGAAGAUCCACGAGAAUCAUUUGCACCCUAAUUUUAACCAAAUGGCCAGUUGCACAUCUAAUGUCGUUCAUGAAGAAAAUUGGAGGCUAUAUGAACUAAAUCUUGUCUCCAUUUGGUAAAAUCAAAAUAAAAUGUGCUGGAAGAAUCCUAAAUUUUGUUAGCGAUGCACACAAAUCCUUGCAUGGUCUCUCAAGCACGUCUAGCUUGAAAUCCUUCCCUUCAUGUGAAAUGCAUGGUACAAAAAGAAUAAUGCUCACUAAAAUAGCACAUAACUGCAAAUUGUAGUGGAAAAAUAACAUUACCUAAGUAGGAAGAUAGUCAAAAUUAUUUAGGAAUAAGUGAGACCAACUCAGACAUCCUUUUACUGAAGCUUCAAGACAUCUCAUGAGCUUACGAUAUAAGUGCUCUAUACUAUACAUGUAACUAAAUCUAUGUUAGUUAUUCUAUUAGAAUGCAGUGCACUGAAAAUAUUUACCUAAACACGAAUCUGAUCCAAUCACUCAUUUGGGCACUUGGCUCAGAUUGUAAUUCCGUAAUCAGGUUAAAAAAUCUUUUCAAACAUGACCUAACAUUUUGUGUUCAGGUCAGAAUACAACAUAGUAUUAGGUAUAGGAUCUAGGUGGUCUGCUUGCAAAAAGUUUACCUUUAGGCUGUGCCUGUAGCAUGUUGAUGGCCAGUUAAAGAGUCAUACUAUUGUGAUGAAGCAUGCAAAUGUUGCGGAAAGAACUGACAUAAAAUUACACAAUUUCAGAGGACUUCAAGCAAAGGGUAACGAAAAUAUCAAUAAACAAACCAUCGACAUUGGAUUUUCUUUAAUGCAUAUUACCUCCUAAUUCAGUCCAUGUAUUCUCAUGGCUGGGCAGUGGAACCCUCCUACGGCAUAUGCAAUACCCUUUAGUAACAAUCAUGCGGACCUGAAUGACCACUUAUAAUUUGAUCUACUAAAUUGGACUAUGCUGCUCAACCUUCAAAGUGCAAUGGGUAGAGGCAAGCAAUGAUCAUUGUACAUGAGAACGUAAUCUCUUUUGAUGGUGCCAUUUCGACUAGAUGCACCAACAAGUUAACCAAAGUUCAGUUCUCAUAUGAUUGGCUUGAAUUUCCUGAAGUGCUUCACUAGGAUUUAAAUAUCUUUUACCAUGCUAUCAAUCACAUUUUAACAUAAAAUAAAAUACACUUGUUAUACAUGCAUAAAGAAAUCAAUAAUCUGAUGAAUCCAACAUAAAAGUCUCAUAUAAAAAGAAGCUUCUUUUUCAUCGCAUUUCAACAAUUUUGUAGCGAAAGCUACCUAAAAAGAGCCAUUUGGUUGUUUUUCUAUUUUGAGUUUUCAUUUUUAAAGAACAAAAAUUUACUAUUAGCAUCAAAACAUCUUUCAGGUUUACCAUAUAGUAAAGAUUCUUUUUUGCACUUUUUUGAGUUGUCAAAAAAAAACACACUAUAAGGAUAAUAGACAUCCCUAGUGAGAAACAACAUAUCUCAUGUUCUAAAUGACAAGAAAAAGAAAAAGACAACCGAAAAAACAAAAGACAAUAACAAACUUCAUAACAGCACAUAUCAAAACCAAAAUUUGUUUAUGCACAAGCAUAACUGAAGGGUGUUUUCCAGUAGAAUAGUAUGAAAAGGGAUGACAAAGAAACUUCUGAGUUGAGCAAGAUUACUAGAGAAGGAGAAUGUUAUUCCCUACCAAUGACUUUGGUAGAGGAGAUAAGUGGGGGAAUAACCCCCCAAAUGGGGAUUUAUCUCAGCAAACGCCCCAAAACAGGCUACGAAAUAGCCUUAUUCAGAUAGGUCCAAAAAAUGAUAUGCUCACUUAUUCCCUCCAUUUCUCCCUCCAACCAAAUGGGACUUAUUCAAUGAAAUAGGUUAUCUGUUCAACAGUAUAGAGGAUAACCCUCCAAAAGUUAUCAACUCUACCAAACACAGACUACAGGUUAGAUAUUCCUAUGCAUAUCGAAUAUGAAGUGUUCAUUCCUAUGUCAACAACUUUGUCCCACACCAAAGGAUUCAUCAGAUCAUAAUAAUGACUAAUUCAUGCACAUUCUGCCAAUCAAUGUAGAAUGAUGUAACAGCCCAGAUCUAGCUUGUCAUUAGAAACUUUUCAGCCAUCUCAUUUCCCUCACUUCAAGUGGUCAAGAGUAAUUUUUCUGGAGACCUCCAAGAAAGCAUUAAUUUGCAUUUAGUCAAAGUAUGUCUAAAGCAAUUAUUAUUAUUUUCAAACUUUUGAGGCCCAAUUUUGAAGUUGUCGGCUCCGUGUACUCAAAUAAACUGCCAGUUCUUCUUUUUGCUUCCUAAAGGACCUAAACCAACAUAAGGUUGUCAACAGGACGAUCAAUGGGACUCACAGCAAUAUUUCAGGCCACACCAUUGUAUAGGGCCUACUCAAAAUUUUCUACGUGCCUUUUCAAAAUCCCAGAGCAUUGCCAUUAACUCUAGCUGUGUUUCAGUAUUCAACUCAAAACCAGAAUAACAUGACUGUCAUUUCCCUCCUUAAUUAACAAUUUCUGAAGUUUUGAUUUGGACAAGAUAAAGAUGACCCACAGGACAAAUAUCAGUCUAAUCUAAUAAAUGACAGUGUUGAACCCAGCUAUGAAACAUCAGAAUAUGUCAACUCAAAAGAAAGGGAUCAAAAACAUUAAUAUUUAUAUGUAUUUAUAUAUAUAAGAGUUGAGCUGCACAACCAUAUUAGGAAUAUUUGAGCCUAUAUCCUAUCCAAGUAGUAGAAAUAAUGGUUCACCUAAAAUGAAACAGCAUAUCAACGAUCAUGAUUUGCAACAUAUAAAAUCCCUCAGAACCAGAAAUUAGAAGUUUAAGAGCAGCUGGGGAAGUGGAUUUGCAUGUGCCAUGGGAAAGCAAGUGUAACAAAUCGGGACCUCACCUAAAAAGGCUAAUCAAAAAUUAUAUCUUGAAGUCCUUCGUCCUACUUAAGUGCCCAAGAUCUUCUCAGCGCACAACCAAUGCGAAACCAAACACAUGUCCAAAUGGGUCCCCCCUCCCAAAGCCCAAAAAAGGCUAGCCGUAAUUUGUCCAAAUGGGUCCUUAGCCUUGCUUAUGUACCCGAGAUCUCCCAAGGACUCAAUUGAUGUGGGACUAAAAACACACAUGCACAAGUCCUCGCAUGCAAAGUAUAAGUUCUAGCAAGCCUUUCUGGUGAUGUCCUAGGUCAACAGGGCCCCAAAAAAAUCAGGAUGUGGAAGCAUCUGGAAAGAAAUUCUAUAAAUAUAUUGUAGAUUAUUUGGUUCUCGCAGCUUGAAGAAUUUAAGUUAUAACAAAAAACUAACUAUUUUUAUAGUUAUGAUAAUCAGGAGUUGAUCUGUGGUAACAUAAGGCAGCAAGGUACAUAAUGGAAGAUGGGGUUGGAAACGUCAGGGGAAGAUAAUGUCAAAGGGGAACAAGGAACCAGUAGGGUGUGGCACCCCAAGCAGAACAGCCUAGUAUGGGACACUCUAAACAUCAAUAUCUUUAGACUAAUUUUUGCUGCAAACAAUAUUUAGAUUACAUCAUAUGCAUAAAAUGCUGCACUCUGUCAUUAUUGACAUUUGAGCUAACUUCUAGAAAAGUUUUGAUCAAAACUUAGCAAUUAAGUCUAAAUUCAUUCUCAUUUAUGUCAUAUUCUAAAUUAUGAUAUGGAAAUUCACGUUUGCACGCACGCGCGCACACAUAUAUAUAUGUACAUGUAUCUAUAUAAUUCAAGCUAUUGAAUGCCAAGAAUUUAAAGCAAAACAUAGCAAAUGCAAAAACAGUCCAACCUGGAACAUUUCCAAUAGAGGCAAUAGAUUCCACAAAUGCAUCCAAAGCUGGAAAUGGCGACUUUCCUGAGAAGUAUGUGCUUGGAAAAUCACUUCUAUAAGCAUUGAAUAAAACAGUUUGUGGGGCAUUUGAAUUAGUUUCAUGAGCCUGGUCAAAGAAUAAAUUAGUAAAGAAAAAAAGUACAGCAAAUGUUUGAAGAGAACAGGCAAACAUUUCAUAAACAAUCAAUGAUCAAGUUCAAUAAUCAUUUUAAAAUUUGAACUGUGUAGACAUCUGAUACUAAGAUAUACGUACACAAAAUUAUGAUUGGAUAAAAGAAAAUCUCCUUAAUGCCUCAAAAUUGUAUCUCACGAGAAAUAUACCAUGGCUUUGGCACUCCAUUACUUUUCUCCUUGCAUUCAUUAUGGAGACACCUUGCAACUAUCAUAUAGUCGCCAUCCACAAUUGACGACUAUAUGAAGUCUUCUGUCCUCAUCCUUAGCUAAGCCAUAUUUAAGGAACAAGGAACAAAAGUCUAUGUACAUACAUACAUAUUAUACAUAAGCAUGCAUGGAUAAAAAAAACUUCCUUAAUGCUUCAAAAAAAAAGUUAAUCUCAUGCAAAACAAAUCAUUUGUUAGGUAUCUAAAAUUUUGUUGUUUGAUUCCUUAGACUGACAACUUGUCAACAUUUUGGCGAUAUUUCCUCAUUUGAAAUCCAAUAAUGCAAUUCAGGAUGUGCUGACUAAUAUUACAGAUUUAACAUUUAAGUUUAUUGGACCCUAUUGAGUUAAGUGCCACCAUAUUACCCUAUUUCAUUUGGAUUUGAAAUAUGGGGUCAUCCACGUUACUUUCUGACCAUUAGUUUCAUCUUAACAUGAAGUUUGAGGUGUGCAUGGUGUACAUUUCCAUUCCACAUGAUAAUCGCUUGGGAGUCUCAUCCCUAUUCAUCACUGACAAAUCUGGCAUAUAAAGUAUUUACUUAAGAUUAAACUAGAAAGUUUUGCAAUUUUGAGAACAUAGAAGCAACUAGGAGUCCAAUUAUAGGAAAUCCAAGAGUAAACUAAGAAAUUGAGGAUAGAGAACAAAAACAAUGGACCAUCCUGCCUCGAGAGUAAAUUCACAAGAUUUGAGGUCGAUUUUACACGCCGAAAUUUACAGACAUUAGCCAAGCAAUAUCUAAUUGUAGCGGCAUUUUCAAAUUUCCUAGAUUACAAUUCAUCUAUUGGUAGAUAGCACUUGAUGCAAUGAUAAUCAUAUCAAGUUCAUAUAUGUGUGUAGUUUAAUGUAUAUACAUGUUAGUCUUAAAAUUAUCUAAAUAGUUAUGUUAAAUAACAAGAUUGUGUUAAAUACUAUGUAAAAGUUUAAAUUGAGGUUUAACAGAAUAAUGUAACAUUUAAAUUGGCUUUAAUAUAUUCUUUAAAUAAUUUUGGACAUUCAGUUCAAAAAUGUUUGUACCAUGCUUCCAAUGAUUCUAAACAAUACAAAAUAUUUUGAAAUUAAGUGAUAUAUGCUUUUUGGCUUGCUUUAUCUUAUUAUUAUUUGUCUAAUUUUUCCUUUUUUUCUACCUUCUUUAUUGAAACUCGAAAACUUGGAAAACUAAAGCUCAACAAGUCGGACCAAAACCAAGUUUUCAAACUUUGAAACUUGCCAUGAUUGACAAACAAGUCUAUUACCAACAGAGUUAUUGGAUAAAGCCAUCAGAUUGUUCUCAUAGUUCCUGUAUUCUUGCUUGUUGUCUCAGUGUCAGCCAAUCAGCAGCCACAUGCGAAAAGGUCUUUGCAAUAUGCAUCAUAUCAUCAAACAUUCAUGUGGAACAAGCAUGCAUACGCUUUAUCAUUAGAACAUAAUCAUACAAGUGUAUAUUUCUCUUCAACAUGCAAGAUAGAAGUUUGUAUCAAUGUUCUGAAUCCGGUGAAUCUAGCAAACUUGUUUGGUGGUGGGAUCACAUGUUCCCAGUUCAACCAUGGGUUAAUUGCAGCAGGAUAUUUUGAUUUUUACAAGUGUUAUCCUUCCCUCCCAAAACCUAGACUAGUCAUAUCUCCUUCGGUCCCUUCUCUUCUGUUCCCUCUUCUCCAUGUCCCACCCUGCUUACCUGUGCCCUGGUGCUUGGAUCUAGUCCUACUACACAAAGAUGAAGAAGAUCAAGAAAGGAAGACAUAGAGGUUGGAGAUGAUAUGUUGAAGAAUAAAAUGAAGAAAAAAGAAAAGGAGGGGGACAAAUCAGAUCUACCAGGUCCCAAUCUCAUUCCCAUCGCAUCCAAACUUGGCACCAUUGCUUCUACCAGAUCUAGCCUCAACGCCUCAGAUCCUGCCAUAUCUAGCUGGUGUUCAAUGGCUAGGUUGCAAUGGCGAACAACUUCUCUUCUCAGCAUCAAAGGCGAUGGUUGCUAACAAGAGAGGAAAACAGAUGGAUCUAGGGGAUAAUUAUUCUUUCUUUUCAAUUUUUUAACAUUUCUUCCCCUAUCCAACCAGAUGAGGUAUUCAGGGUUGACUUGGAUGAUUCAAGUGGUUGAACCGUCCAAGUUGUCAAGUCAAGCAAGUUUCCUAGAACCUUGGGUUAUUGUUUGACUUGACCUAUAAUGUGCAUUGGGUGACAAAUUGGGCAUGCCAAUCCAGUCAACCCACAUAGGUCUCUAAGCAUUGGUAGUUAUGACAUGGGCUCAUAACAUGCUUUCUUUGUAUAGAUCCAUAUUUAAUCAUCCUAAAUACCCUAGCUUUUAUUCGAUUCCAAAGCUUUCGUCAUUGAUUUUCCCCUUUUCUAAAAAAAACUAAAGCCUUGAUCCAUAACAAGUGUAGCAUUAUUGCAAAUUUAUCAUUCAAUAUUAAAACAAAGUAAGAUUAUUUGCAAGGCCUGGCCCAGUCCAUUGACCGACCGACCUAGCCAGGCCCGGACUGGUGCCAAAGCUAGACCCAAAGACGACUUCCAAUUGCAGAGCCCAUGUUUCAAUCCAAUGAGGCAGACUCCUCUUUGGUUGCUAACAAGGGGCUAGGAAACCUAGCCUCCACUGGCUAUUUGACCUCCCAUGACUCCCUCGUCAAGUCCACACUCAAAUCUCCUUCUUCUUGUUCUCAUUUUUCUGAGUCUUCACCACUGUCCACCACCAUUACUAUGGCUGCAGCCGAGCCUUGCCAAAGAUGAGGUAAUAAUAGGGUCUCAUCUCUCUCUUCCUCUUCUAAACUUUUUCCAUCAAGGAGAGCUAUCAUCGGCCUAGUUUCCAACAACAAAUUGCUAGAAUUUGAAAUAAUGACCCUCUACAUUGUUUCGCUAAUCAUCAAACUUUUUCAUCUAUUUUUAAGAUAACCGUCGCCGCUCCUCUCCAGCUAUCCCCCUCGAUGGCCCGCAACCCACGUUGAAGCCCCAGUGGCCAACAAUCGGGCUAAGGCUUCAUUCGAUAUGAUGAAGCUCUGUUCUACCCCUUGUUUCCUUUGUUUUUCGACCUUCCACUAACCAUUGGCCAUCGGCCAUCACCAAUGGUCGACCGGCUGUGACGACUAGCACCACCACCAACCACCAGCCAUCCCUCUUUUCUUUUCCUAAGAAAGCGCCUCUCUCUCCUCUUCUCUCUUUCUUUCUCCUCCUCUCUCUUCUUUCUCUCUUUUCUACUCUUCCAUUUUCUCUUUUUUGUGAUGGAUGCAUUGCAGCAGACGAUCCCUUUCCUGUGAUCUUGGUCGAAUCUGGUAAAGGGGUCUUGAACCCUCUGGUGGCCACAAUAGUAUGUCGGGCUCCAUUCUGGCCCUCAUUUGGGCAUACUGGACAAUAUAAUCGUCAUUAACCCUUGUUUUGCUAUCAAUACCCUAGUCUAACUCUCGUUUCGUGAUUUGGUCGGUUGAAUUACCUGAUUAGAUUGGCACCUAGCCAACCCUAUCCUCUUCCUUCAACACUUCCUUCUAUUUUUUCUGUAAUUGCCCAAACCUUUUCUAAUUGUUGGACUUGAUUCUAUGUAGGGGUGCAAGCAUUUGGACAAGAAGAAAUCCAACAAGGGGGUACUACAUUAAAGUUCUUAAAUCAAAGUUUUUCUCGGAAGAUUUUUAGAAAUUAUUAGGAUUUGUUCGUGUACUUGCAAGGUAAGUAAUGAUCCACCUUUUCUAGAGAUUUGAAUUAAUGGAUAUAUUUUUUUGAUAUUCAAUAAAUUAUGAAUCGAUUUAUAUGCAAUUUAUGAAUUUUAUGGAUUUGUGUUUUGAACGAAAAAUAAAAUUUAUUAUUCAAAAAUAAUGUUUUUAUUACGAAAUAUUGUGCAUGUUAUUAUUUGAUCUUAUAUGGAAUACACAUUUUUGAUUGAAAUAUGAUAUACAUUAUUCUAUGAAAAGAGCUAUACAUAUCAAAUUUGGACUCUCAACCUGACAAUAUUAUGGACCUUGCCAAUGGGGGUUAAAUGUUGGCACUUUGACUAUCCAGAACUUGAUUACUAUAGCCAUACUCUGUAGGGGUUAAGGGUAGUAUUAUGAACCCACUCCAUAAAGGUUUAACUGUGAUAGUAGGACCUACCCAUCCAGAGUUGAGUGCGGUAUUAUGGACCUAUUCUACAAGGGUUCAGUACUAUGAACCCUGCUACAUGGUAAUGUGGUCAAAGUUUAAGGUUGUUGAGUUGAACAUAAUAUUUUUAAAUCAAACUUUAUGAAUAUGAACAUUUGAGCAAUAUUAGAUAUUCUGGAUUCGUGUUUUAAAAUGGAAUAAGUUUGUGUUUAUCUAUGGUAAAAAUACUUAUUUUAUUAUCACAUUAAUUAUCUAGCUAAAGUAUUCAUUACUUGCUGCAUUGUUGAGCUCAUUAUUUGGAUUCUUCUUUCAUUAUAGAUUCGGAGAAUUAAUUGCUGACAAGGUAGUGCUAUAUGCACAUGAUUAGAAUAGAGAGUAGUUCGUAUCGACGAAGCUUAGAAUUAGUAUUGUUUCCUUAGUUUAAUAUAGGAAAAAUGUUAUGGGUUCUUUAUUUUGAUUAGUGUUUGAAUAAUAGUUGAUGCAAGAUACUUGUGAAAAAAAAUUCUAGAUAUUUCUUAAUAGCUUGGAUAUAUUAAUUGUUAGAAUUUGAAAUUUGGAUUUUAGUUGCUUUGACUUUAUUCCGCUGCAUUAUUAUGAUAAUAUGAUGGAAGUGUCGCAUGCUUGUAGGAGAAGUGCCCUAUAAGUAUGUGGCAGUUGCCACAUCCCUAUCUCGUGAUUUCGGGCUAGAAGCAUGACACUAUUUUUAUUUAUUUUUAAUUAUCUUCAAAAAAUCAUUUCAAUAAUCUUUGUCUUGCAGGAAAUUGGAAUAAAAAGAUGGAAAUCAGAGAACGAGAGACACCACAAAUAAAGGCCUUUGCCCUUUUGGAGACAUUCUAAGGGUUUGAAGUUAUCAAGGAGGCUUCAAAUGAUUCAGGAAUAAGACCAUCAUCACAAGUUAAGAGGAUCUUCUAUGUUUUUGCCAUCAAAUCACUUCCUCGAGGCCUUCAUUGACAUGAGCAGGUAACUUUACAAAUUAAUAUUCUAAUUCUAUUGUGAUUCCCUCAUCCCAGGGAAGUGCAAAAGAAAGAAUAUCAUUUCCCACUCUAAUCUCAAGUAUUGUUUAUUGUUGGAUGGCUCAUAACACCUUAUAUUUGAAAUGGGUGCCAAGCAUACUACUAAAUUUAUAUUGUGAGGGCCGAAAUGCUAGUUAGGUUAAAAGCCAUUGAAUAUGUGGAAGCAAAAGGAAGCAUGCUGAAACUAUGUGCCAAUUCUUUUGACAUUACUACUACUACAAUUUUUCACUUCCAAACAACUAGUCCAUCAAACAGGUUGUCUUCCGAAAAAAAUCCCAAACUAUAAAUAUAUAACAAAAGAGGGUAAUUGUAGCAAAGACAUGAUUAUCUUAUAAUGAUACACUUUUACAUACUACACAAGAGGGACAUAACCAAUAGUAGCUGUAGUGCUAUUACCCCUUUAAUAAAUCCUACUUCAUGUUGGAAACCAGCAAAUACUUAGAAUUCACAAACAACACGCACAUAUAUAGACACAUAUGCAAUACAAAACAUGAGUGUUUUUCGUCAACAUACAAGCUCAAGUUUUUGUAAGUUCUACCACUUUAGAUUAUCAAAAGAUCACUUCCAAGUGAGCAUUUGAUGUCAAACUACAACAACAAAAGAAGGUAGUGAUUCAUUUUUCCAACUUGUAUGUUAUUAAUUACAAAAUGUAUGAAAUGAGCUCUGUAAGACUCAGUUUCACAGCUAAAUAUUUAAACAAUAACUCCACUACAUAUCAAGUUAGUCUCCAAAUUAACCAAAUUCAAAUGUCAACCAACUAUAAGUGGCAUAAGAUACCAUUUUGCAAUAAUUUUUCAUAUAUCGAUCAUAAACAAGCAAACAGCAUAAAAAAAAGGUUGGACCAAUGCAUAAGGCUUCUGCCAUUGAGAGGCCUGGGGAGGGUCAGAUGUACACAGCCUUAACCCCACAUGCGGAGAGGCUAUUUCCAUGUUUCAAACUCAUGACGUCUAGAUCAUAAUGGAGCAACAUUACCGUUGCACCCAGGCUUACACUCUAACAAGCAAAAAAUUAAUCAACGUAUGAAAGGUUACAAGAAGAGUAUCGACAUAGUUGAUAUGGUUAUAGAGUUCCGCAUAAAAAGUACUACAAAGACAAACCUGACCUCAAAAUCAAAGAACAAGAUUUUGUUGCAAUCUAAAUCCAUUUUGCAUUUUAGAAGUUUUUCGCAAUCAACAUCCAUUCUGCAGAUGAGGGAUUCCAUGAACACCUGCUGCUUGCUCUGCAUCCAAUUUCAAGAAAGAUGAACAGCAUACAAUCAGGAUCAGAUAAUCUCAGCACUUCCACAGAGAUAUGCUGCACAUUUUUAAAAGCUUACACUUCAUAAGGCAGUUCUAUUCAGCUUGCAUGAAAAACAUAUUUUAGAAAAUUGCUAUAUUUUAUAGAAUACUUGUUCUUGCUUUUUUGUCCAUAUACUGGAGAAGGCCAAUGAAAGCCUAGAAAUGAUAUUUAAGAUCAGUACUUGUUUACUAUGAGACGUAGUUCCAACAAGGCAGGACAACUUGACUAGGUCAGAAUUAAUUCAUAAAUGUCUCUUGCACAUAAAGAGUUAGGACAGAAGAACAAAUCACCGCCAAUAACACAUAAUUUAAUUUAGAGAACAAAACUAAAUGAAAUAUCUUUCUUUGUUUGACAUCUGACAUUGUUAUGGAAACAUGGCUCUCCCAAAUAUAAGAUCAAAAUUGUAUUACAAACCACCUUGACAGGAUCAUGUUUUUCUUGAACUAAUCUAGGAAAUCUCUUGCAUCAGGUUGCAAUUGCCAUGAUCUUGAAAAUUCAAUACUAACUAGUAAGAAUUAUUUUUUACUAUUUCAUUUCUGCAUAAGAAGUUAUCCAUUCCCAAUGAUUUAUCUUAAUUGUGAUGUUCAGAUAAUUCAUAGUCAAGGACCAAAGUAUUGCAUGCUAAUGUCAUGCCGGCCUGCCACGGGCAAGGUAUGUAACAUGCCAUGUUGAACCUAAACUUGGCACACGCAAGCAGACACAGACACUACAGCAGAUCAUGCAUUGGCACCAUAGACGCCUAUCUGUAUCAACUCGCAUGGAGUGGACAACCCUGUAAUAUGAAUUUAGUUAACCUUUUCUUCACAGAAUAGUAAAGCAUAGCAUUAAUAGAAAGUCCAAGCUGAUAGAAGAUAUCAGCAUUUUAUUGUUCCAUUAUCUAAUUUGUCUCAUGAGCAUAAUAACAAAAUUCUUGACGGAAGCCCAAAAGACUUCCAAUGCAAAGAACAUACAAUAAGUAAAGCUUGUUUCGGACAAUGAACGUGUAUACAGCAUCUAACACCAUAUGCUAGAAAAAGGAGUAGUUGAGUAAGAAACAUGAAAUUACAACAAUGAGGCUGGUAAGGAUCGAAGGAUAAGCAAAAUGUACGUGGACGUAACAAAACAAAUUUAGAAUUAAGAAGACCAAAACGAGUUGAGAAGAGAAAAUCAUUGACAAAAGAGUCAAAACCAAAUAUUAUCAAAGGGCAGCUUGCAUAAAUUUCCCAUAAUUUUUAGUAGUCCAAGUAUCCAACAAUGUCAACGGAAGAUUUAUUGAGAUAGGCGGCAACCCAACUAGGUCCAAGUAACAUAGAAAUAAUAGAAUUGGAAUCACCAUGGCAGCCUAUUCAUUGAAAGGAUUGAACUGAUGCUGGCUGCAUAUAUAACAAGGGUUUCAAUACCCUGAGACUUGAAAGCAGGUUUGGAGAGAGGCAUUCUUAUCAAAGAUGAAUCCUAUAUACAAACACCUAAUGAGCACACUAGCGGCAUGUAUCAAUCGAUCACAUACGGACAUUUGAUGUAUAAAAAAAUGCAAAAAACAAAAGAGUACAUCAGUAGAAAACAUGUUAAAUAUGUAAUUGUUGUAAUAUAGAUGCAAACAGGCACAGUAAUAGCAGCUCUAUUAUGUCUAACACACAGAAAUUUCUUCAUAUCUGGUCUAAGUAAAAAAACAUGUGUAUAGCUUCCUUAAAAAAAAGAAGAAGAAAGAAGUAUGACCUUCAACUACGACCAUGUCAACCAAAUAUCUUUAUUAAGAUCUACUUGUCAGCACUUCAGAAAUUAUUUCUUAAUAGCAUGAAACAUUUAUUUUUUUUGCUUUUUCAAAAAGAUGCAUCCAUUUAGAAAUUGGGGUAACUCAACAAAUGUAUCUUCACAUAUACAAGAUGGCCACACCAAGAUUUGACAAACUUGCCAACCAAAUCAACAAUCUCAUGAGUUUAUGAGACCAAACACCAUGCCUUAAGCACUCGAUGCGACCGAGAUAGUAUGAUGGAGAAUGAGAGGUGUGCCUUACAACCUGUCCAAGAAUAAAGGGAAUAUUAACUUCAUGCAAACAACGUAAACAAUAAGGCAAAGUGGCUUGAAAACAUCUUGGUCCUUAAAUUAACUAUUGCCUUUAUAUUUUCUUUGGCUCCAAGUCAUCUCUUUAUGGUAUCUUUUAGAGAAUCCUAUACUUAUAUAUCCAACUUGUCUAGCUCUACAUCAGUCUGUAAUGAUUCCACCAUGAAGAGCUCCCUGUGCUUCUGAAGACUUAAAGAACAGCAACAGGUACAGUAUGUAUGGCAUCUGUCAUCAAACAGAACUCCAGAAAAGGCAGUUCACAAGGGCCAGCCUUCUGCUAUUCUAGUUCAUAAGACUUCUACUUCUCCAAUUUUAAUCAAUAGUAAUUUUAGUGUUGCUGGUCAUCAAGAAUAUCCCUGUCAUUCUCCUUUCCUGAGGAAGUUUCAUAUCUGGAUCAAAGUUUUAUGCUUCAUCUACCAACAAUCUACUAAAGAAAUCAGGUUGGUAUUAAAAAAAGAGUAAAUUACAAAAAACCCCUUGAGGUUUACAUUCUUACACCCAAUAGUAUGUAAAACCUACAGUACACGCAAUUACAUUAACGGCGUUAAUGAAUCCAUUUACCUCAUGUGAAAAGCCAAAAUUGCCCUCGAGUGAUCAGUAAAUUACAAAAAAAAACCCUAAGAUUGGGGAUCUAUUAUACUUAUAUCCAAUAGUUUGAAAAACCUACGCUUAUCCUCCUGAGGUUUAUUUUUCUGGCAUUUUAAACCAUAACUUAAUAGAAUAUUAGCCAAAUCGUUAACUUAAAUGAAAACUAACUACCACAUCUUAAAAAAAUUAGAAAAUGACCAAACUAACCUUAAAUGAUAAUAACAUCCAUCCAAGGUACAUAGUACCGACCGAACCGACGUACUGGUGGGGACUGGUACCGGUUGGGUACCGGUUGAAACCGGUACUGAUUCAGUACUGAUUGGAACCGGUAUAAAAACGGUUCAAAAAAAAUGCGCGGCCGGCACUCUAUAGCAUUAAAAGCCCACGCGGGGUCUACCCGCGCGGCGAGCCCGCGAGGGAAACCGCGCGCGCAAUUCCCAACACAUGGAUGCGCGGUUCACACCGCAUGGACCGCGCGCAGGCGCGAGUCGGGCGUGUUUUCCCACUCGCACCCAUGCCCCCGCGCGCGGGCAUUAUUCCCCCGGCCUCUCUCCUUUUUUUUUCUUUUCUUUUUUUCCUUCUCCUUUUCUUCUUCUCAAGUUGUUCUCUUUUCUUCCCCUCUUUCCUCCUCUCUUCUCCUCUCUCUCCCUCUUCUCCCGCGAGCAAGGAAGGUCUUCCCCGCGAGGUGCUCGGGAGGAAGAAAGAGGCCCAGUAGUCUUCUCCCCCGCAAGAGAGGUCUUCUUCCCCCCUUCGACAGGUAGUCUUCUCCUCUUUCUCUUCUUCUUCCUCUUCUUUCCUCCUCUUUCUUCCUCUUCUUUCCUCUUCUUCCUCUUCUUCUUCCCUGCGAGUACGGGUGCGGUUCGCACCGGUACUGGGCUUGUGUCAUUGCGAACUGCACCAGUUCGCACCGGUACGGACAAGGAACCGUUCGGUUCCGACCCUUUUAGAAUCAAAACUGAAUUCUAUAGUUGUACCGUACCGGUGCCGGCCAGUACCGAUAUGGUACAGGCUGAACCGGUUGGAACCGACCGGUUCAGCAGACCUUGCAUCCAUCCAAGGAGGAGAACCGUGAGACGCCAUGGGUCUGGAGCUUGAUCUUGAUGAAUCAUCAGAAAAGAGCUAUGCUAAGAAAAAGCAAUCUAGAUCUCUCAGGCAAGUGGAUGCCUCUAAAACAUUCUGCUGCAGAAAACUAGUACCAAGAGUUCUGUCGCUUAAGCCAGUAUAUUCAUGGUCCAAGCCAGGCCAUAGAACUGCAACUGAUGCACCCUCCAAAAUGAAGAAUUCUCAUGCACAUACUGAUUUGGAUCCUUUUGAUGAUAGGUUGCCAAGGCUAUCAUAAUUCUUUGUGACAUGGUGUGCGGGAAAGCAAGAACAAACCUGAUCAAAAAGAAAGCUCGUUGCUGAAUGCUGGUUGGAAAUUAAGGAUGCUCGUCGCUGGAUGCCGGUAGAGAAGGAAGCUUGCCAUCAAUCGCUCGUUGGAAAGGGACGCUCAUGGUAGGGUAGUAAAGCGAGAAAAAAAUCCUAGCUACUCAAUCUCGAAGAGAAGAAGACUCUUAAAGAUGAAAGCCUUCGAAGAGAUCGAAGAGUCAGAAAAGUGAAAGAUGAGCCUUAUUUUCUUAUAGGAAUAUUUUUUGACUUUUUACAAUAGAUAAAUAGUUUUACUAACACUAUCAAUUUAACUGAGUGUAACUGUAGGUUUUAUAAAAUAUUAGGCGUAAGUGUAAUAAACAUAAACCUUAUGAAGGUCUUUGUAAGGUUAUUUUGGUUAUUUUAAAAAAAUUUCUAAUGUGGCACUUCAGUCCCAUUAAAAGUUAAUGGUUUGACUAACGUUCUGUUAAGUUAUGGGUUAAAGUAUUAGAUAAAAAUAAACCUCAGGGCAGUAGGCGUAGGUUUUUCAUACUAUAGGAUGUAAAUGUAAUUUAUCCCUAAUCUUAGGGAGGUUUUUGUAAGUUACUCUUAAAAAAAUGUGUAAACCAAAAAAAAGACAUUGAACGCAUUCUAAAAGUGGUUUGAUCAUUAUAAUGAUCAUAAGGUAUGAAUAUAGGAGCUCUUGAGCUCAAGGAGUACAUGUUAAAAUGAAUUUAACUUUUGAAGUACACUAGUCAAAUUUAAAUUAUACCAAUAAAAUUCUUAAGACACUUUUGUAGUUUCUUUCGAUAAUCUGUAUAAUUUUAAUCUAAUUAUUUCCACAGCUCUAAGCAACAAUGAACAAGAGAAAAUGUUUUCUACCAAUCAGCUUUGUCUAAGCAAUUGGCUUUCAUGGUAGUUCAACACUGUGUGUCUACUCCAACACUACUUAUCAUGAGGCCAACCAACCCGCUGAUUGGUAAGCAAUUGGCUCUUAUGGUAGUUCAACACCGCGUGUCUACUCCAACACUACUUAUCAUGAGGCCAACCAACCCGCUGAUUGGUUAGCAAUGGAAAGCCUGAGGUGACAAUGUGAUCUAGCUUGGGUUACUGCUUUUCCUUAUCCACUUCUUUGACCUCUUAGAUCUAAUGCUUGUCAUUGUUCCUUUCCUAUAGGUUUUAAGUGAGGGCUGGCCUCCCACUACAUACAAAAAGAAAAAGAAGUAGGUGCUUCCCUACCACUAUGAUAUUUCUGAGGAUGAUAAGAUUGAUAUUUUAGGAUCAUGUUUGGUAUUGCUUUUGUUUUUCUGUUUUUAUUUUCAAAAACCCAAGAAGAAAAAUACAAGACUGAAUGACAUGUAUGAUGAAACCCUUAUGUGUUUUGAAAUAGUUUGUAAAACCUUUAGAAUUUUUGGUAGGAAGGAUUUAUGGCUUCAAAAAAGAUGAAAGUACAAGCAAAGGAUAGCAGAUGUUCCAUGCAAAUGCUGUCUUCAACAUCAAUCUCCAUCUGGUAUUUAACUAAUUUGUAAAGAAACAAACAAAAAAAACAAUGAUGCCAAACAGGCCCUUACAGAUUUUACUCCAAAUGAUUGACUUUAAGACUUUAAGUCUGAAGAGUUUCUGGACAACCAAAUUUCGUCAUACAAAGGGACCUCUAAGCUCUCUCCUGAGUCCACUUCUUAUGCUAUCUUGAAGAAUGCCAUCCAAUCUAACAUAUGAUCAAGAAUAUGAUUUCAUACAAUCAGAACUAUUAUGAGUCCUUCACAUGUCAAUAAAUGCAAUAAUUUGACCAAAUAACCCAUUAUUACACCUGAAGACCAAGUCACAGAAGAACAGACUAAAUCAACCGGCGAACGGAAGAACGCAUUGCUAGGAACUCAAGUUCGACUCCAAACAUGAUGAAGAUAUAACCAAUUAAACUUAUGAAUUAUGAUUCUGCUGUCCUGACACUCAUGUAGAUGCACCAUACAUUACUAGCUUAUGUACAAACAAGACACAUUUUUGAAAAUCCAACACUUGUUUUGAGAAUAGAAGAUCAACUGAGAUCUCUUAAGCCUUCCAACGAAAGUGUGGUUUUGCAUAAUAAACAUGCUUUCCAUGCAUGCCUAUCCAAGAAUACUGGCAUACCCAAUUGAGAACCUAUACAAAGAAGAUAUCUAUGACACACGCAAUCUACAUACUUCGGGAAGUGAACCAACGGAUGACAAUGAUGUGAUGUCUCUUAGAAUCGCAAGUACCCCAUUUCUUAUUUUCAGGAAUAAGCAUAUCGUUUAUGAUUCCGUUCGAAUUUUUUGUUGUUCCAUUUCUGAUGAGUAGAACUAUAUUAUUCUAUGUGACAUCAUGGUGAAAAGGCUAAUGCUUAUGAGAAUUGUUCACUGAUUAUGCAUAUACUUAUGAGCAUCUCUACUUGAAGAAACUAAUUUUAAGGCGAAGACAUAGAUCACUGAACUUGCUCUAGAAACUUCUAGCUUUUCUUUUCUCAAUCCAGUGCAAUGUUGCUGGAUUUCUCUCUAUUUUUUAGUAUCCCUAAAGCCUUAUUUCUAAGUUCCAUUCAAUCUUGCCAUUGUUUACAUUCAACGCUUAUGCUUUGUGUACCAAUGGUAUGCCGAAGGUUGCAUCAAAUACCUAGCCUAAUAAAAAGAUUGCAAGAAUCAAAAGGAACUGUAUGUUCUUUGGAGUAUAUUUCUUAUGUCAAAAAAUUCUUCUCACUUCAUACUACUAGAAGGAAAUUUUAUAUGUCAAAGAAACUCCAACAUAAUAAAUCUAACACCAGCCAUAUGAAGGUGCUGUUUGGUUACAGCCUAAGUUUAACCACAAUAUUUGAAUAAAUGAAUGAUAGCUUAAGGUACUUAUUCCUCUGCACUUCCGAGGGAUGGAAGGAUAAAGGCCUUUGGUGUCCCUUCCAAUCAAGAAUUGGGGCCUCACAAUUACAAUAUUUAAUGUGUUUCUCUCAUUCAUGGUUCAAUAUUCUGGUGUCCUAGGUGUUGAGGGACCACACCAGUCCAUCCUGAACUUGGUGAUUAAACUCUAUUGCGGUGACGAUAUUAUAGGGGGAAAUAGCUCAAUGCCAAAAUGAUAAAAAGUUUAACACCUCUUAUUUGACUUUUAAAUAUUUUUAAAUAGGAAAAGGAUAAAUAUCCAAAAUGCAAAGGUUGUCUUAUUCGAAACCCCAAUUAUCUCUUCUCUCUCACUGCACACCUCCAAAUGAACUAUUCUUAUAGAGAGAAAUGUGCUUUUCACAUCUUCUUAACCUGAAAUGGCUGAGAGGAAGUGUUCAUUUUUGAGGUUUCUAACAUCAAAACAUUCUUCUCAUGACAUAAUAGUAAAAAGAAGUUUUAUAUAUCAAAGAAUUCUAACAUAACAAAUCUAUCACCAACUAUAUGAAGAAGCCGUUUGGUCCAGCCAAAAUUUAACCAGGAUAUUUGACUAAAUGAAUAAUAGCUUAGGGUACUUAUUCCUCUUAACCCAGGAAAACUACUAGGCCAAAAUGGCCAAAUAGUUUAACCAGGUUAAAGAGGAAUAAGGACCUCAGAAGAGCUUUUACCUUUUCUUUUAAAAUCUCAAAAGCACCAGUACCUAUUCCUGUUCUAUUGGAGUGCCAAAAGAGUUUUCACUGAACAUGCCUAGAUAAGUGGACUUUAUUCGGGUCUAUUUGAAAAUAUUGGCAAACCAAACAGGGUUGAUGCAGGAUAUCCAGAAUAAUAUUAACAAAAAUAAAAGCAUUAAAAUGAAGACAUAAAUAAAAUUAAAUCAUGGAGUUGAAAAUAGAAAUUUCAUCAACAAUUUUUCAUAAUGACAUGAAAGUUUUUAUAGAAAAGAAAAGCAAUAGCAAUAUAGUUAAAGAUCAUUGGAUAAUCAGCUUCAUCGUAGUGCUCCUAUACAAUACAAAUGAAAAUAAACUUACCAUAUUCCUACAUUUGAAACGUCCAGUGGGCAUCAGGAAAGAAGUUUUUCCAGCUUUUGAUGAGAAAGCUAGACGGAAACAACGAUUUCGAGAAUAAACAGCAGUGUCCAAAAAAAGCUGACACAAGGAUUCAGGACAGCUCGUGUCUUUCCUAGUGUACAAUUUGUCAGACUGUGGAUCACUUCCCCGUAAACUUGCAAUACGUGAACAUACCUGACAAGGAGAAAGUUCUGCAACAAGUUAUUCUCACUUUUUAAAUAGAGAACAAAUAUGUGUGAGGUUCAAAAAAAAUAUGGAUAAUGUAUUAUCAAUUUUAUACAAUGAUAAGAAUUCAACCUUUCAAACUAAAAUUAAGGGACAGUGUAUAGCAUUAUGUAUUAUAAAACAAAUAAACAAAUUAAAAUGCUGAAAGCCUAAAAAUCAUGUUUUAACCAAAGAAACCAUAAAAUAAUCAUAAUGUGCUAACUAAAAUACUGACAGAGGCAACCUGGUUCUUGGAACAUUCAAUUUUCAAAUUGGCUUCACAAGCGUACUUCCACUUGCAGUCUUGUAUCUGGAUAGAAUCAGUUUUUUCCCAUCAUUUAAAAAAAAACACGUAUUAAAGUAUUUUGAUCAAUAGUCUGCCAGACAAUGCCACUACCUACCCUUACAUAACGGCCCUGCUCCCCGACAGCCAAACCUAAAUCUAUUUCUAGUCUAGUUACCAUGAUGUACAGCCCAAUAGGAAUUGUAUGGCUAUCAUCACCAACACAAGCACAGGGAGGAGUCGGGAAAUCAUAAUGUUUCUUUCAUUUUCACCAUAAGAAACUCAAGGCACUUUUACAUGUCAACAUCGAAGCAUAGGCAAUCAUUGCAUGUAUUGCAGAUGCGUCAGAAGCACUGGGUCUGCUCAUGAUUAAGUUGCACUGAACUAAUAGUCACAAGAAGUCUAAUGUGCAAUUGCAUAUUAACUUAGGAUGUAUGUUGUCAUGGAUGUGGUUGCAGUAAUCUUGUAGUCAUACUCAUACUGGUCCACAGUGGAAUACGGCUGGAAAUAUGACAAAAAACAUAGAAAUUGGAGGCAGAUUUCAAGUUAAAAUCUACGAUUCCAAAGCAUACAUGCCAAGUAUAUAGAUGACACUGAUCCUGAAGUGAAUGACUCCAACCCAUAUUAACCACAUCAUAUUGAUCAACUUGAUCCCUUUGUUGAGAACAUAGAUGCCAGGAGAAGGGGCUACGGACAAGCAACAAAUGAUAUGAUGCAUGUAAAAUGCCAUGAGAAUCUCAUCUUCUUCUCUUCUUGUAGAACCAACAAAACAAGAAAGAAUGUCAAGAACCUCAAGGCUCUGUUUGGUUCAAGAAUCAACACCAAUGUCUUGAAUAAGUGGUUUUUUUCAGCAAAUACCAAAUGAUUGCUGUUACUCAACUCUGAUAGUUUUCUUUUGGUCAGCAGGGUUAUAAUUUGCUUCAAUUUGAACAAAAUCAUAUGGAGGCAUGGAGGCAGGGGAAAAAUGGAGUCAUGGAGGCAAAUGGGUCCGUUCACCUAAGAGACUGACUUUGAUCAUUGCCUGCAGAAUCCUGAUCAUGGUGCUAGAGGCAGUUGCCCAGCUCCCUGUACAUGGAUAUAAAAUGCAGGCAAGAACAAGGGUCACGAAAGCACCACAACUCCUCUAUAUCCUCUUGCUCUAGUAGGUAUCUUGAGGACAUAAAUUCUAGCACAAAGAGAGUUGGGUUGAUGGGGAUGAAUGGUGCAAGCGAUCGACACAAUGGCAUCAGGGAUUGUCCUCAUCUUUUUCUUUGUAGAAGUGUUAUCUUGUGCUUAGUGUAUGACGAAUCCUCCUUGGUGUCUCGGACCAAGGCCAUCCGAACCAAGUUGCAAGACCUGGCAUGGUCCAUUGACCGGCCGGCCUAUAGCUCAUAUGCGGCUUUAGCUCAGCCUACUUUCAGAGUAAGGCCCAAAAGCCCGUUCCCAAUUUCAUUAGGGCCGAGCCCCCAUUUAAUUCAAAAAAGGAGGCUGACUCCGCCUCCUCCUCGAACUCCAGCGGUAGGGAAACUCACUGGCUAUUAAACCCUCCCCAUCACCCCUUGUUAAGCCGCACCUCAAAUUUCUUCUCUCCUUAUUGUUCUAGGUUUCUGUCGUCGUGCCCUAUUAUUGGGCUCGUCGUCACCGAGGUCGAUCCUCGCCAGAGACGAGAUAAUACACUUACCUUUCUCUUCUCCCCAACUCUCUCUCCCCUCCUAUCUUAGCAGUGCACCACCGGCUGGAUUUUUGCCGAAAAGAGAGACCGAAAAACCUUCCCUAUUUUGGCAUCUGCCAACCAGAUUCCUUGUUCUUGGAACCAAUUUCCGUUGUUUUCAUCUCCGACCCCUUGACAUUCUGCAACCAACAUUAGAGGUCGGCCAACUGUCGGCCAGCAAGUUGAGGCUCAAUUCCACGUCGAGCCUUGUUUUAAACACUCGAACCCCCAUUUUUCUUGCUUUUUUCGGGCCUUCCAUUAGCCACUCACCAUCAUCACCUGUCAUCACCGCUGCUUGUCAUCAAUCCUCUAGCUAGCACUCGAUAGCACGACCACCAAACACCACCACCAGCACCCCCAAUUUUUGUGCACCCACCUCUCUCUUGUUUCUCUAUUUUUUCUCUCUCCUCUCUUUCUCCUCUCUUAAGUGAUAGGUGGACCCUAGAGGGUCCCUUUCCUGUGAUCUUGGUUGACCCCAAUAAAACAGUCUAGAACUCCUGAUGCAGCAUAUUGUCCCACCCUAACCCUUAUCACGCACCGUUGGACUCUAUCAUCAUUAAUGCUUAUUGUGUUAUUAUUACCUUGGUCUAACUCUUGUUCUGUCAUUUGAUCAGUUGGAUUACCUAAUUGGGCUAACCCAAACCAUGGGACACCACCACCCGAUCAGUCCUAUUUUUCACAAUUGCUCGUACCUUGUCUAAUUAUUGGACUCAAUUCUAUGUAGGGGUGCUAUCGUCUGGACAAAAUGGUAUCCAGCAAGGGGGGUGCUAUUUGCAUUUGUCUGUGUUCUCGCAAGAUAAAUAAUGAUCCACCCUUUCUAGGUUUUUCAAUUAAUUAAUAUAAUUUUUUGAUGCUAAAUAAAUAAUAAGUCGAUUUAUAUGCAAUUUAUGAAUUUUAUGGAUCCGUGUUUUGAAUGAAAAAUAAUAUUUAUGAUUCUGAAGCAAUGUUUUUGGAUGAAAUAUUAUGUAUGUCGCUUAUAGCUAAUUAUGCAUGUCAUUUAUUGAUCUUAUAUGGAAUAUACAUAUUUCGAUCAAAAUGUGACUUAUAGUAUUCUAUCAAAAGAGCUUUGAUACAUUUUGGAUUUGAACAUGUAGCCGGACUAUGUUACCCCGCUAGUGGGAGUUAUACCUUGGCACUUAGAUACCCUACUAGUGGGGGUUAUAUAUGGGCAUUUCAAUACCCUGUCAGCGGCGGUUAUACAUGGGCACUUCAAUACCCUGCCAGUGGAGAUUAUAGGUUGGUCCUUUGAUACCCUGCCAGUAGAGUUAUAUGUCGGCACUUCGAUACUCUGUCAUUUGAGUUUAUGCAUAGGCAUUAUGACUAUUUCUGAAUUCAUUAAUCUAGCCUGGCCAUAAGGUGUGAGUAUAUUCAUAGAAAGGCUGUUGAGUUGAAUUAUGAUAAUUUUGAAUUAUCAUACAUGAUAUUUUAAAUUGUACUGAGUAUUUGAGCAAUUAUGAUAUUCUUAUUUUGCCUUGUUUAAAUUUGUAUUAACUUUGCCUAUAUACUUAUUGUUAAAAGAAAGUUUAUUGAAUUAUCUAGUUGAGGUGUUCAUUACUUACCAAACCGUUCAGCUCAUUAUUUGGAUUUUUUUCUUAUUACAGAUUCAAAGAAUUAGACAGUGACAGGGUAUUGCUAUGGGCGUGUGAUUAGAAGUGAGAGCUGAUCGUAACAAUUAGCUUAGAAUUAGUACUAGUUUCCUAGUUUAUUAUUGGAAAUAUGUUGUAGGGUCUUUAUUUUGAUUAGUGUUUGAAGAAUAAUUGAUGUCAGACUCUUGUAAACAAGAAAUUCAGGAUACUUCUUAUAGCUUGGAUUUAUUAAUUAUUAGACUUUGGAAUUUAGAUUUUAAUUACUCUAAUUUUAUUCCAUUGUGUUAUUAUGAUGAUAUGAUGAAAACAUUGCAUGCUUGUGGCGAAAGUGCUCAAUGAGUAUAUGGCGGAUGCCAUAUCUCUGGCUCAAGAUUUUGGCUCAGGUGUGUUACAUAAGUAUUGGAUGAAUUAUCGGUUGGUGACUGAUAUAGUAUGAUACUGACUCAAUAGCGUACUAACACUUAAUGUGCUGCACACCCCCAAAUAUGCAACUUAUUUCACAAAAAAAUUUUGAACAUUAUUUUAUUUAUUAUUAUAUUUUUAAUCUAAAAAAUUAUAUGAUGAACAAAAAAAUCACGAUUUCUUUGGCAUUGUGUAGAUAAUCCUUAGAUCUACAGCAUAUCACGAAAUUAGGCCAAAAUACAAUAUUAUGGCAUGAUUUUUCCACAUUUUACCUAUUUUUUGCCUAUUUUAGGCUUCAAAAAGAAAAAAGACUUGAGAGAGGAAGGGAAGAGGGAGUUUUGCUCACUAGGAGUUGAAUUUCGGAUGAAAACUACGAAGAUUGGGGCUUCUCCGACAUUUUUUGGUUAAAAAGAAAAAAAUAAGAUUGAGAGAGCUGAGAAAGCACAGCAAGCCUUCUCUACAUUUUCCCUCAAUCAUUAAAGGUGGGAGCCACAAACCAGCCCGAACCAUCAUGGAUCGAACAAAACCAAGCAAUUCUAUUUGAUUUGGGUCGAUUUAGGCUGGUUUGGGACCUACCCCGACCUGAUAGGCAGUCUCGGUUCCGACCCGAAGCAGUUUGGGAUGGGAUGGUUAUCCUUGUCUCUAACAAUUAGAGUAGCCCGCAAGGCCCAGUAUACAUACCACAUACGGUUAUGGGCGAUCAGAAAAUCUUUUGGCAAAUUUGGACACAAGGUUAUGGAUAGCAUGUAGGUGAUGCAUAUGCACAGCCAUACCUAAACUAAGGCCCCACCAACCCAUACUAGCCUAUUGAUGCCUCUAAUGCACCUAGUUUACAUUCACCAUUAUCUCAUCCAGUACAAUGCAUGGAGUGCAUGAGACAACAUAGUGGGUGGUGCCACCAGUACAUGGCACUCCAAUAAUACAGAUUGUACCUAAACAGCACCCAUAAUAUCUUAUGGGCGAGCCCAUUAGGCACUCAGUGUGAGGUUGAGGUGAAGACCAUGAAUCAUGUAUUGUGAUAAACAUUUAUUUAUAAAAAAUUGACAAUUAUAUAUUAUGUCUUGAUGUUGUAUAGUCAAACAUAAUGAUUUCAUAUACAGCAUGUCAGUACUUUAACAUGAUUUAUAUAAUUUUAGUGGUACUAUGAAUUUUGUGAUUAAAUAAAACUAUUUUUAACAAGGGAUGCCGUUAAUUUAAUGUUAAUGCAUGUUAGGAUGCCAUUUGGCUCGAAAGGCACAGCAAAAUAUCAGCACACACAUAUUCUCAUUCUUGACUAUACAAUAGCAUGUUGGGCUUUAAAAUAAUGUUUUAAUGAAUGAAAUAACUCUUAUGUAGGAAGACGUUCGAAGUAUGAUUCAUACAAAAAGGAAAAAACACCACUGGCCGUGCAUUAAAAAGCAUUCCAUUGCAACACGCCAGUUCGUGCCAGAUGCCGGCAAGGCAAGGCACACAGCACUUGCCAUGCCAGCCCUUGGAUAGCAUGAGCAUAGCAUGCGGCACAUGAUUUCUAGUUCUAUUUUACUGCAAAAAUACAACAGGUAAAAUUUGAUAGAUGAUGGCAGCAUCAUACUUGAAAUGCAUAGGAUCUUUUACAAAUUAGAAGCUUGGAAAAAAAGGAAUUAACUUAUAGAUUUAAGAUUGAUAUUUGAAUACCUCCGAAACAAAUGCACCAGCAUGUGAGUUGUCCUUAAAGGCAGUCUUUGGAAUGCGGAUGAUCAAAUGACGCGAAAAUUUUUCUAUCACAACUCAAAAAAGUAAUUACAACAAUCAUCUGUUUUAAUAGUUAAAUUUAAGCAAAAUAUAUGAUUUUAAAAGAUGAAAUAAAAUCUAAAAAAUCUUUCUUUAAUUCAGUCCAUUUAUGUAAUAAAUAGGCAAAAUUUACACAAAAUGUAGUUGUACAACUAAUAUGAAUUAUCCAGCAGAACAACAGAAAAUGCCAUAAAUAAGAACCUAAGUAGUAAUUAAAAGAUCGUGAUAACAAUGUCACUUUAAUUGGCUUUAAACACAGAUCGAAAUGCAUGAACACACUAGAGCAAAGGCUUAAGUCCUAGUUCGAGGAUCCAUAUCAUUCUAGGGCCUGUCAAGGCACUACCAAGAUGCCCCUGCCUUGGCACGUGGGACGACUUGAUACCUCGGUGGUUCACUGCAAUGACCCUUCUUUUUUCCUUCAUUUGUAUGUUCCUUUUAAUGAUUUUUUAGAUGCUUUGGAGUUCUUUGUCGAAAUUUAGGCCCUAAACUAGGUUUUUUAAGCUAGUUGAGAUAAUGGUAACAGAACUGGUACUAACACUUAUGGCUUGGAUGAAAACUUAAAAUAACAAUAAAUUUAAAUGGCAUAUAACUUAUCGAUCAUAUCAUGCAUAUGAAUGAGAUGCAUAUUUAUAAAUCAUACAAAAAUCAAUUUAUUGUUAUUAAUAUAUUUCAAGUUUGUUAGGAUUUUUCUUGAAAAUUUUAAAUCAGUGUGAAUGAGGAGCAUGUCCAUCGCAUGCACUUCAUUAUGCCUUAAUUCAUAUUUAAAAGAUGUACCAGCGUAGGGCCUCUUAUGGACCUUAACUCAAGGACUAAGAUUUAAUCUUAAAUGCUCAAAAACAUCAUCUAAUCCUUAAUAAAUAACCCUAAAAAGCCUAUAGCUUUUAAGCAACUAUUAAAAAUAAUAAACAAACAAAAAUAAUAGAAAAUAAAAAGUUGGCAUCCCCGUGACUUACUGGAACACCAGAUCAUCCAAAGUAUGAAGACAAUGGUAUCAGCUGUCCCAAUCACCAUCAUGGUUUAUCCCAACCAAGACAACUUUGAAUGAGCCAUUUUUUCAUGUCUUGGGGUCUCAGACCCAUCCAAUGACUCAAUACCUAGCCAGCCAAUCUAGGAUAGCUAGAAUGGACCAAGACAGAUGUGGGUCUUUCAUCUUUGAACUAAAUGUUCAACGUACUUUUUUGAAUUCAUAAAUAACAUCUAGAUGUAAAAGUUAACAUCUACCUACAAGAAAGGACAAUACGAUAUCAAGCAUAAAUAAUAAAAAAGGCUUAUAGCAUUAGAAAUAUGUACAAAGUUUAUCGCACUCCAUACAAAACAUCUAAGAAUUCAAUAAUGCCCGCAUAAUACAUAUAAUGUACUAUCAUUGUUUGUUCUUUUACAAUGCAAUGAUUGACUUAAGGUCCGAGCAUUGUCAAAUAUGUGUACAAUGUUUGACUAUAAUAUUAUUAGAUGUUCAAAAGAGUGGCCAUGAUACGGAGGCAACUAGUGACAAUAUAGCAAUAGAACAGGCACAAAGACGGAUUAUUUAAAGAAGAAGAAGAAGAGAAUUUUACAUAGAUAAACUAGAAAUAAGAAUUAAAUCAGAAGUAAUUAAAGGAAAAAAAGGAAUAAUAAGAAAAAUAUGUUUUCACAUUUAUUUGAAAACCUACUAUAUGGUAACAUGAUCUGUUAACAAAUAAAAUAUCUAUUUUCCCUGUAAAUUUUUAUUGAUUGAUUGCCCAAAAAGCAUGUUCAAUGAUUUUCAUUAAUGCAACAAGCAAAUCUACAUAAUAAUGAACAAUCAAAGCAAUGUCGAAAUAAAAAAGUUAAUAGAUCAAUGCAAGGGAUAACCAAAUGCCUAAGGCAAGGUGUUGGGGAGCCAAUGGAAAAGACAAAGGGUGCAUAUGGGAGGUGGGGUUCAUAACCUACACAUCUGAGACAAUCUAAUACCUCUGACCACCUCUCCUAGUUCCUGAACCACCCCAAAAGACAGUCCAAACCUGACUCACCAAGGCCACCUGGGCCUAGGCAGGCUGCUUGGGAGACCACUAAAUAUCUAGGUCAUGUAUAUGGGACACCUAGGUCUAGGUGGGCCACUUAAGAGAAGCCAAGCCUCACAUGAGGGACACUAAAGCAAAUGGGUGCUAAGCGGGAGCUAAGGAACGACCUAAGCCUAGGUGGCAAUAUAGUAAAGAGCAUAAUUCUAAGCUAUUUCACAUCCGCUCGGACCACAUCACGUCAUACAUGUAUAUCUGCUCCUGUGUCAUUUCACAUACAAUUUAACAGUGUUUUUUUUGUGACAUGUAUUAAAAAAAUUAGUAAAUUACUUACACUAGAGUACUCAUAAGUAGCAUGAAACAAUUCUUUUGAAGAUAAUAAAAAGAUUAAGAUUUCUGGCUGAACAUAAGCUCACUCUAUAUUUGAGUGACAAUAUGUAAAAUGUGGUACAACAUAAAAGAAGAGAAUUGCCAAAAAUUUCAUAGAUCAAAAAAGAUAAGGUUGAAAUAUAGGAUUCUAUCAUAUAAAAAAAAUCUCAUAGUGACACCAAGGAGGUGUUGAACUUCGGCUAAAAACUCGAAGGAGGAAGGAUAUAUCGGUGUAACCAAUUGUGGCAAGGAAGAAACUCCACUACAGCACAUACAACGCAAUGAAGACGGUAGUUGGAAGAGGAGCAAGAACGGAUCACUCUCUUUCAAGGCCAAAAAUACUACCUCGACAGGCCACUCCAAAAACUUCGGCUCUCACACGCUCACUCGCAAACUCUUAAGAAUUCACCAAACGGGAGGAGAGAGAGAAUAAAGAGAAAAUAAGAGAAGAAUAAUUCUCACAAUAGAAUCUCCACUAAUCAAUAUCUAUCGUAUCUCUAGUAUGAUUAGAGAAGGAGCCCGUUGGGGAUACUUAUAAGUACUAUAAAGAGGACUCUUUUCUUCAACCUUCUAAUAUGGAAUUCCAAGUCCUAUUCUAAGUCGAAGAACCCUAACUACUAACUUUUCUAAUAACAUCAAAACUUCUCAAAAGAAAGUUCACAAAGAAUCAAAACUCCCUAAAAUCAACUAAUAUCAACUUUCCUAACUAAGAUAGGAAAAUAAUUAAUCAUCAAAAGCAGUUGACCCAUGUGUACAGGACCCACGACUCAUGCAGCUGGGACCCGCAACCUGUGCGAUCGAGAUCCAUGACCCAUGCAGCCGGGACUCCCGACCCAUGCAGUCGGGUUUUCCGACCCAUGCGGUCGAGAAUCCUGAUUAGUUCAGCAUCACGUGCAUCCUAAGCACUCCGGUGUCAUACUCCCCCUAUUGGAGAAAACUUGCCAUCAAGUCUAGAUCUUCUUGAUCUUCCUAGUCUUCAUAGUAAGGUGAUAGAUUGGCUAUGUUGAAUGCUGCAAACACUCCAUAGUCUCCAGAAAGUUCGAUUUUGUAGGUAUUAUCGUUAAUGCACUUUAGAACCUUAAAAGAACCAUCAAUUAUUUUGUUGCAUAGCAUUCUGGUGGCAAAUUGCACUACUGCAGGUUGAGGUUGGGCAACGAGCACAAGAAGUUGAUAUAAUCCUCAAAGUUUGAAGAGAAAACAAGGCUUGGGUCCAGUACAACUAGAGGAUCGAUAAAACCAAUGCCAAGUUCGAAUAGAGUGGAGGGAUACAGGAAGUACAAGUUAGGGCCUUGGGACAUGAUAGCCUGUCAAUGGUCACCGUGCUUUUUAGCACGGAUGGACAUGGCAGAGGCAAUCAUAGAAAUCAUGGGUAGCUAAGGAACAUAGUCACCCGGGUACCAUGCAAUCGAGAGCCUUCUUCCUGAAUUGUGUUUUCCAUAAAGAACAUAUGCAAUGGCAGCACCACCUUGUUCGCCACCAGGUAAGAUCACCAAAAUUACAAGGCCUUUGGAAGUAUCUGCAGCAUCAUUGAUGAGCUUUGUUUGGAAGCCAUGAAGGAUGCGAUUUGACCGGUCUAGAUUCUCAGAUUCUAGAUCCAACCUAGCAAUGAUUAUUGCCACAUUGGUAGUCUUCGCAACAUCAAAAGCCCAGACGAUGCUAUCUUGGGAUGUGUAAGCCACAUUACCAAAACCUUGCUUGUAGUGAACUUCAACCUCCUUGAUAAUGGCAUUAAACAAGACGGGCUCUAGGCUAACUAGUCCAAUCUUCUGCCUUAUCCAGUUUUAGCCUAGUCUUCAGGUUGAUGCCAUCUAUCAUAGAAUCUAAAAGAUGGACUUCGUGCUUCUUUCUCCCAAGAAGUGACAUGAGCAUGUUGUAGUACGAUGCAGUGACCAAGUUUGGAUAUUCGUGCUGCUUCUCUCCCAUGCCAUGCGAAGAGCAUUUAACGUGCAAGAUGUUAUAGCAUGAAUGGUCUUCUUCAUCAACUACCACAAUCAUAUUAAGGCUUCAGUGUACCACAAUGCUUCAUCUUGAUCGGAAUACACUAAUUCUUCCUCGCUUGGGCCUUCCUCGUCCCACUUGACUAGCUGAUCUUCUUCCUCAUCUUCUACACAUGAUCCUUAUUCCAUCAAAGAGAUGAGCUUUAUAUGUGGGCAGUAAAUUGCAAUAUGCACAAACACUUGGCACUUGAAAUACUUGCGAGGGUUAGAAGCGAUAGUGUUGGAACAAUCGUGGUUGCUAAGGAUGUUGCCGUCCUUCUUUUGAGGUGAUUGGGAGGUGUUGGCUUUGAAGGAUACCAUGGUCGGCGGAACCAUCCCGAACCGGGCGGUUCUAGCCGUUCCGAGCCGUACCAGCAGCUUACCAGUAUGUUUCUGGCAACGAAAACGAAAACCGUUGUCGGAGGUGGAAAAGGAGAGAGGAAAAAAGAGAGCGAGCGGGGGAGAGAGGAAGAGGAAGAGGAAGAGAGAGAGAGAGAGAAGCCGGCGGAGGCCGUCACCCGGGCGGGAUGCGAGGUUGCGGCCGAUUUUCCUAUUUCGAACGAAAUAGGAGUCUGGCCGCUAAAAAAAGCGCGAUUUUUAAGUGAAGUCGGCAAAUCGCUUGCCAACUCUACUUAAAAUUGCGAUAUUACUUAAAAAACGCAAUUUUUUUAGGCCUCGCCUCCUGCCCAAGCAUCGGCCUCCUCUCUCCCUCUCUUCCCCUUUUCUCUCUCUUUUUCUCCCUGCCACGAUCUGUGUUGUUCUCUCCUUUGUCGGUACAGGCCCGGCACGGUGCAAGCCUGUAACGACUCGUGCUACCGGAAAAUCGGUAUGGUGCCCGAUACCAAUUCCGCCGACCCUGGAGGAUACCAAUGUCUUCAACACGAACUCCCCCAGUUGGACCUACAUCCGUAUACUUUGAAAAGUAUGAAUUAUUUAUUCUUAGUUGUUGCUUUUCGACUUUUGUUGCCAAUUGUAGCACACCAUUCAGCGUCCAAUAGGGCUAAAGUUGCAUAACUUGCUCAAUUUCAGGCCUAAAUCCACCAAGAUAUUAUACUAUAGUUUGCUCUUUGAGCUUCUUAAUGUCGUACAUCAUAAGGAGUUGCUCGAAUUUCAUUGUGUACUUUUCUACGGUUGUGUCGCAUUGCCGAAGAUUGUGGAGCUUAACAAAUUUAUUCUUAUGAUAAUCUUCAAGUAGGAACUUAAAUUUGAGUUCGUGACGCAUCUUUUCCCACGUUCGGAUCUUGCUGCAUCCUUCAUGCUCACAUCAUCGCUUUAGAUUUUUCCACCAAAUUGAUGCAUACUUUUUGAGCUUGAUGGCAACUAGCUUGAUGCAUCGAUCAUCAGAAAUUUCAUUGAGUUCGAAGACUUGUUCAACGGUGUGGAGCCAAUCAACGAACUCAUCAGAAUGCAGGUGUCCUUCAAAGUCGGGGAUGUCUAUUUUCAUACCAAAGUUAUAAUGGUUGCGAUGUGGUCUUCAUUCAUGCUGGUACCGGAUAUCUUCUACACUCGACGAAGACGCUUUUCUGUUGUAGGACGGAUUGAAAUUUUCAUUGGAACACUCGCUUUCAUCAUCAAAAGGCGCAUUGUCUGAGUAGUGAUUGGAACUUUGGCAAUGUCGAUGUUCGCAUUUCUCUUACCAUUGACAAAGCCAUUGAUUUUCUUGUUAAAGUUAUUCAAGCUAGCGGUGCAUUUCAUCUAAUUUGAUAUCUCGCGGAUCUUCUCCACGUUCAACAUGCUCUUCGACAUUGCAGCGAUGGGGCGGCAUCUUGAAACAAUGCUCUAAUACCAACAUCGGAGAGGUGUCAAACUUGGCUUAAAAACUCGAAAGAGGAUGGGUAUGUCGGCACAACCAAUUAUGGCGAGGUAGAAACUUCACUACACACAUACGACAUAAGGAAGAUAGUAGUUGGAAGAAGGGCGGAUCACUCUCUUCCAAGGCCAAAAAUACCAUCUUGGUAGGCCACUCCAAGGAUACAGCUCUCACACGCUCACUCGUAAACCCUACAAAUCCACCAAAAGGAAGGAGAGAGAGAAUAUAGAGAAAACAAUGAAAGAAUAAUUCCCACAAUAGAAUCUUCACUAGCCAGUAUCUCAAGUAUCUUUAGUAUGAUUACAGGAAGAGCCCCGAUGGGGGUAUUUAUAAGUAGAACAAAGGACUAUUUUCUUUAACCUUCCAAUAUGGAAUUCCAAAUCCUAUUUUAACUCAAAAAACCUAACUAGUAACUUUUCUGAUAACAUCAAAAGUUCUCAAAAGAAAGUUCACAAAGAAUCAAAACUCUCUAGAUUAAUUAACAUCAACUUUCCUGACUGAAAUAGAAAAUAAUUAAUCAUCAAAAACUAGGACCCAUGCAUACUUGACCAAGGAUCCGUGCGGCCGGGACUCACGAUCAACGCAGCAUCAUGUGCGUCCUAGGCGCUCCGGCAUCACAUAGGAGGAAGCAAUCACCAUUGUACUAUGAACCACAAUGAUUGUCCCACAAUCUCAGUGGUUACUCAGGGGGGAAACAUGCAUGAAUAAUAAAAAUGGCAAUAACAUAUACCUAAGAUUUUACAUCUUUUUUUUCCUUUUAUAGUUAACUUUUCACAGUUAGAAGGAGAAAGCAACUAUCAAACAGAACAUUUAAGAAAAGUCAGAAAAAGGAAAAGCAACAUAAAAACAGUUGAAGCAAUGAGAAAAAAAUCUGAAGGAUCUCCAAAUUGUGAACAAUAGGAAGAAUAGAUUGCAAAACAAGAUAUUCGAAGCCAACACCAAAAAUGGCCCAUAGAUUGUAAACUAUUGGAACAGAUAUAGAAAUAAGAACCACAACAAAAAGUCUCCCUCAAGUUUUAUCUAGUUUGAUUAAAGACCAUAAUGAAUUAGUGAUAUUAUCUAUUCCAUCUAUAGAAGCAAAUUAGCGAAAUGCUGGAACCAGUGUUCUAGUCUGAUCAAGAGCUAUGCAUCAGUCAAUACAUUUUAUACUGUAACAACAACACUAGUUCCUGAUUGGUGUGUAUACUAUAAAUAGUCAAGAUAUAGGCAGAACUAAUGACAAAAAAUUCUAAGUUAGAGCUCAAACAUCAAAAUAAUAAUGAACUAGGCAAAAGAAGUCGUAUGAAUUGCAUCUGGAGGAUAGGAAGAAUUAUGCAGAAAUUAAGAGGAGCUUUAAAUAAUGUAAACUUUCAUUAAGUCAAAAUAGAUUGUACCUGAAAAAAUAUUCUAAACAAAAAAUAAAUAUGUAGGCCUACAAUUGGAAAGUCAGGCAUCAACAACGAGAUUCCCAAUAAUAAUCAAAGUUCAACUAAUACAAAAGAAGUUGUUGACAUGAAAAACUUGAUCAAUAGUGGAAAAAGGAGAUGCAUAAACCAUAAAGCUUGAUCAAGAAAAAAUAAAAGGAUAAAUUGAACUAAAUAGAAUAAAUGGUCAUUAAUUAACAAAGCUAUUAGAACAAACAUACCUUUGGUAGAUGAAUCAAGCUCUACCACCCAUUCUUCAUUUCCUUGUAUAAAGUAUUUCUCAAAUAAGACUUUAUAAGUGAUAAAUAUCAAGGUGUCUACCAUUUCAUCUACAUUUCUAUCAUUGUUGAUCUUCUUGUCAAAUUCCAGAUCAAAAUACAAGUGGCAAGGAACACCCUGAAGAAGUUACUAGUCAAAACAUGCAAGUGAAAAGUACUAUCAAUGACCCACAAAAGAAGAAUUUACAUGACUGCUACAAAAUACAUAGAUGGAAUUACCCUUUAACGAGCAUGAGCAAAAUUUGACAAGUAUUUAGUAGAUUCUAAAAAUCAAUAUUAACUAUUUCAGGAAAAAUUUAUGAGCAGCCAAAUGAAAAUUUUGCCAUAAAAGUCAGUUUACGAUAAAUCAAAAAUGAAGCUUGAACAUUUAUUGUUAAGCUUGCUUGAGAUGGAAUACCCCUCUCAUUUAACUCCAGCCCACAAAAUAUAUUUAGAAGAUAGCAAGCCCCACUUAUUUUGAGCAAUCAUUAAAUAAGGAUUAUAUUGUCAUGGUCACCUACCUAGGACCAAAUACUUGAAUGUACAUUGCAAAACUGAAGGCCAUUACAGUUCAGAUAAAUCAGGAACAGUGCCUCAUAUUUCGUUUUUGCCUUGAAGAAAAAUUACACGAAAGUAUAUACCUCUUGAAUAACUUCAUAAUGGUGACGUAAUUUGGAAUCCAUGUUCUUGUACCUGGAAGAAUAAACUGUCAGCACAGAACUCAGGAAACCAAAAGAAAUGUGGACAUGCAAAGAGCACUACUGCAUCCCAAAAUUUGGAUGUGCUGUUUUUCUCUGCUUCUGAUACUACAUAUUUAGCAUUUAAAUGAUGGAUCUACUUUUGUGUCAUUUUCCCUUUAUUUUAUUUGACAAAAGUUCUAAAAGACCAUGAAAGAAACAACUAAUUACAAACCAAAAGGAACCCGCAAAUAAAGGAGAAGAAACUACGUUGAGAAAACAAGAUUGAAAUUUAACCUUCUCCAGAACUCAUCAUAUGUAGACACAAGAAAUCGUCUUUGCCCACUUAAGUGAUCUUGAUAACUAAACACAUUAGCAUGUGCAUGUGUAUUACAGAAUCUCAUUGCCUCAUCUUGUCUAGGAAAAGUAGCCCAGACCUCCUUCCUAAUAAAAACAAAACCAAGUUAACAGCAAUAACAAAGAAACAUUUUCUGCUAACCAAGUGUUUUGAAUCAAUACACUUCUACAGAUACAUACCUGGGGAUCAGACUAUUCUGCUCUCUGAGAUCAACAUGAAUUUCACGUAAUAACCGCAAUAAUUGUGAUGGCCUUUUUACUGGAGCACCAUGUGGGGAACCAUAAAAGACAAUUGGAGAGAUCUGCUUGCUUUUAUUAGAUUUAAUUGCAACAGAUGUUGAUACAACAGGCUGAAAGAACAGCGAUAUCAUUACUUAUCAAUGAUUAUUCUCAAUUAUGUACAGUCAAAAAUAUUGAUGCAAGGAAUGAGGCAAAGUUUUCCCAAUAAACAUCUAGUAGACGAGCCAUUUCUAAAUAAAAACCACACAGUACAUUCAUCAAUUAUCAUGGAAACUAUUAUAAACAAUUAAAGAUUAUUUUCAUGUCAACUUAUGUGCUAUUUGAUAUUUGUUUUUCCCUUUUACAAGUGGCAUACUUCCUGAACAGGAAAGAUCAACAUCUAAAUUAAAAAAAAACACUUCUAAAUUCUAAGUUUUAAUGUGCAUUCAUUUUGAUACUGAGUUUUGUUUUACUGCAACUUCAGUUAUAAAACAAUUGAUUGAAAAGUUGCUUUCCAACAUUAUGACUCAUCAUUAACCAAAAUUUGAAUAAAUUCACAUGUUAUGCAAAACCUAUUUGACGAGCUCAGAAUUACUUAAACAAAAAGUAUGGCUUGAAUGUGGAAUUUUUUGGUGACAAAUCUGUCAGCAUGAACAUUGCUAAAGAUAAGUGAUAGUAUGGAUUAGUUCUCCAUCUUUAUGUUCCAAUAAGUUUGUUUAGAUCACAGCCAUGAAGAACCUUAGUCCACCAAAAUUAUAAUCAUGAAUUCCAUUCCAUAUAUCGGUUCUGAAUAAACUACUAUUCAAAUAUUUUACCAAAUGAAGCAAUAACCACUUCCAGUACUCUCUGUGAUUUCCCCAGCUUAGAAUUUGAGAUAUUGGAACUAACUUAACAUCCCAUCAUGUAUAAGUUGUUGACUGAAGUUGAUCAUGAUUCCACAGGUACUGAUAGUUAAAGUAUUGAUCAUCGAAGUAAAAAAGAAAAAAAAAGAAUGAGAAGAGAGUAUAAAAAUGCUAUUUGUUAACAGUUCAUAUAAUGUAGUAAUUGAAGCAAUAUAGGUUUUGUUGGAGUAAUAGAGUCGGACCUGAAUCUGAUUAUUCAGGUUCUGAGUGAUUAGUUCAAAAGCAAAGCUUUGAAGGGCUGUUCAAGUAGUAGACUGCAGAUUUUUUACCAAUUAGAUAUGGUGGUAUUUUGGGACCUAGUUUGGAGAGCAUAAACCGAUGUUUGACAAGGUAUAAAAGGAAUUUCUGUCCUUAAGAAUUUAAUUUAAAGUGUGAAGAACCACAAAUAACUUAGCAAUAUCAAAUUUGCAAUUGCAACCAAGAUCUUGAGAAACACAUCAAAAGGAUUGAUUCCAGACAAAUAAAUGACUAAAUUCAGAUAUACAUGUCCUUUAUUGAUCUAUAGAAUAGUUAUGGUUAAGAAAAUGUAGAAUCAACACUUCUAAUGUAUAACUUGAACUUGGAAAGUAGACAAACAAAGCAAAGAUCAACUUUCAUGAACUCAGUGGGGGAAUUUGAGCAAGGCCUGUCUAUUCAAAUCUGAUCUAACUACAUUGUACCCAACCUAAUUAAACCCAACCAACACGAUCCAACUAUUUCAAUCUUGACUCAAACCAAGACAACACAACAAAAUCUAGUUAAACUGAACUUAACCCUACCAAUCUAGACCAAGCAGAGCCAGCCCAAUCCGACUUAGAGUAGAUGUAAGUCAACCUCCUAACUUUGAAACAACCUCCAAGUUGCCACUUCUAAAGAUCAAUUCGAGCAACUUCCUUCAAAACAACACUAUAUUAUGGAAUUGUGGUUUAUCAAACUAUCCAAUACUAUGGACUUUAAUUGGAUUUUCAAAAAGAAGAAAAGAAAAGAAAAACCUAACUGUAUCGUCAUAUGAUCACCAAUAGAAAAGAAAGGCACAGGAAGGUUAAAGGGGAAAAAACAGAAAAGAAAAAAGAAAGAAUCAGAAAAGUGGAUGAGUGACAACUUACUUAUUAAAACAAUUCGCCAUCUGUUGAAACUACUCUGGAUCCUAAUUUUUCAGCUUCUUGGCUUAUUNNNNNNNNNNNNNNNNNNNNAUACCAUUUACUUUAAAAGAAGAACAGGACUUGGCAAAAUAUUACAAUAACCAGCUUCCAAUUGGUUAAAAUAUGAAUCCUAAUUCUCAAAUUACCUAUCUAUAAAUACUACCAAGACCAAAUAAAACACCAAGAAAGAAGACCAUAUAAAAUACCAAGAAACAUGAUCAAGAAAGUAAUAUUCACAAGGGUCAACAACAUUUUGCGAUUUCUUUUUCUGAUAACCCUUUUUGUGUCAUCUAAAGACCAAAUCAAGCACAAAAAAGCAAUCAGCUCCAAAGAAAGCUCAGCAAAGAAAAAACCCACAGCAAAUAAAACCAAUCUUUAACGUACUCAAACUUUGAAAUAGUGAAAAGAAAAUCCUACCUCCUCUUUAUUAGGUGAAACCUGCUCAUCUUGCCUAGAUGAGGUCGGUGUCACCAAUUCGGCCACUGGAGAGGCUCCCCUUUUCGCCAAGCUCGCUGUCUUGGAUCUCUCCAGCCAGGAUUUCCUUUCUUUCAGUGCGGAUUCUGUGUCAUUUUACCCCAAAAGGCACAAAAGAAUCGGAAAUCAGAGAAUUAGGGUUAUAAUCCGAAAAAAAGAUGGAUUGAUGAGUGAGAGACAUAUCCCAGGGCAUCAACAGGCAUAGGGUUUGGGGUUUGGCGAGGUUGGGAGAGAGAUAAAAGAGAGAGGAGAGAGAGAGAGAGGCAGGACAAUCUUGGACGCCAGGAGGCGGUGAAGAACGGAGAAGGAGGCCAUUGCGACCCUUUUAUUGACUAAAUUGAGAGAGAGAUUAGGGUUUGAAGAGGAGGAGAGGAGGGGAACAUACCAGGAGUGGAGAUUCCGCACUUGAAGCAAGCGAAGAGUCGAUCGACGUCGUUCGUGGGAUCGUAAGCCAUGGCGGUGGCAAGAUCUGUUUUCCCAAAGCGAAUAUACAAGGGCUAUAUUCGUAUUAUUAACGCGGUCUCUGCUCGCUGGCAAUGAGCGGGAAAAGAGACCUUUGGUGCGUUGUCCGCAGGACCAGCGAAAGGCAGGGUUAAGGGGGCACCUACGCUCGUCAAGGGGGCGUUUGGGGAUCCCAACAGGAGGCGUUUGGUAUGGAGUGAUCAUCCCCGGAUCAAGAGUGAUAUAAGUAAAGGUGAUAAGAUCACCGCAUUUAGUUGCACCACGGUGAUCCUACAUGACGAUAAUCCUAAAUUACCUCCACUCCUCCUAUCACUGCCCAACUCGGUGAUGGGAUACCCGUCCUUAAGGUCGGAAAUCCAAGAUCACCCUAGAGCAGUGAUCCUGGAUUGAAAAUUAAAGACAAAAAUACCCCUCAAUAUACGAUCAAUAUAUUAUGUCAAUGCUAUAUAUAUAAUAUUAUAUUGAUAUUAUAUAGUAUAUUAAUGAUAUAUUAUAUUAUAAUAUAUUACUAAUCAUAUUAUUAUCCUAUUAUUAUUGAAGGAUAAUUUUAAAUUAUAGUAGAAAUAUAUUAUUAUAUUUUAUAUUUAUAUAAUGAAAAUAUUUAAUAUAUUAUUCUAUUUACCUUAUUUAUCUAAUCAAAAUAAUUAUUAGUAUUAAAAAAUCUAUUAUAAUUAUAAAUAAAAAUAUUAAUUCUAUAAUGAAAAAUAAGAUAUUUUUUGAAGAUUAAUAAUUUAUAGGAGUAAUAAAUAUAUUUUUAUAGAAUAUAUUAAUAAUUAAUAUAUUGAUAAAUAUAUUAAUAUUUUAUAUGAUUAAUAAAUAUAUAAUAAGAGCUACUAAAAGUAGAAUAUGUGAUAAAAUUAUGAUGCUAUUAUAGAAUUAGCAUAUUGACUUGCAUUUUUGAUUCAUGAGAAUUAAAAACAUAUAAAAAGUUCAUAUAAAAUAUAUCAGGGGUAUUUGUGGUAUUAUGUGGUCGGUGAUCUUUGAUCCCCUUACCAUACCAAACAAGUUACUCAUGGAUACCUGAGGAUUUUUAAUCACUGGACCAUUGCCUACCAAACACAUUGAUCUUAGAUUACUGGGAAUCAAAUCAUCCCAGUAUUCGGAUCACCGAGGAUCUUAGAUCACCAUGGUGAUCCUAUUGGGGUUACCAAACGCCCCGUAAGGAAUCCAGGAACACUACAUAGAAUGGCGAUAUACACUGCAGUCUCUUUUUGGGAGACAUCAUCAUUUUCCAUCAACCCUGUUUCAGUAACGGCAGAAUUUGCCAACGAGGAUUACUAUCAGGAGAAGGCCAGAUAUGAAUCCCAUCGCAAGAGGCAGUCCUUCGAGAACAACAUAACUUUCUUCCGUGUCAUUUUCCUCCUCCUCUGGAGGCUUUGAAGUGGAAUUGCAAACUAAGAAAAAUUCACCACAGAGACCAGGAUUCCCUUCAAAGCUCGAACUCGAGAAGGUUGAAAACUGACCUCCCUUGGGAAUUUGGCCCUGCAAGCGGUUGUGAGCAACACUGAACGAAGAUAAAACGUAAGGUUGAUAAGGGAGGCAGGUAUNNNNNNNNNNNNNNNNNNNNNNNNNNNNNCCCCAAGGAUGGAUAUCCCAUUACCAGGUUGGGCGAUGAUUUGAGAAGUGGAGAUGAUUUAGGAUCACCACCACGUAGAAUCACCGUGGUGCAACCAAACACAGUGAUCUAAUCACCUCCACCCACAUCACCCUUGAUCCUGAGACGAUCACCCCAUACUAAAUGCCCCCCAAGGGUCUAGUUCAACUUGAGAAACAAAUUAUUAUUUUUUAUAUGAAUACCCUCCUAAAUAUCAAAUUUUGUAUAAAUAUUAUUUCAAAAUUAAUAUUUACAUAUAUAUAUCUUCAUAAAUACUUAUUUUGCUAUUCUACAUUUUUUUUUUGCUAUUCUACAUUUUUUUUAUUCUUGGUUUUACAUAUAUACCCACGCCAUCUAACGCCGUUAAAAAAUUAACGGUUUCAAAUUAAAAUGAUUAAAAUAUUUUUAAUAGGUAAAUGUAAAUAAGGUGAUCGUGAUGGAGGAUAAAAAUGUAAUUUCAAAAUGUAAUUUUAUUUUUAAUUAAAAUAAAUAUGAUUUUUAUUAAUAGUAUUAGAAGAAUCGUUAUAUUAGAAGCAUUUGUGCAAAAACAGUAUUUUAUGAAGGUACAGAAAUAAAUAUAAAUUUUAAGAGGGUAUUCAUAUAAAUUCAAAUUUUCAAAAGGAUAUUCAUACGAACAAAUUAUUGCAUUUAACCUCCUAGAAAUAAGUAGUAUGUCACUUAUCAGAACUUUUUUCUAUGGCAAGUUAUAACUACUGCUCUUAUGCCGCUUGCAAAGAGAUCCUAUUGGAUGAAAACUCUUACAGUAAGUUUAAACCAUAAAAAAAAUCACUUACGAUGAGAGAUUGUGUAUUGAGACUAGCUUGCAGCUUCACAGCUUCACAUAGACAAAAUCUUGUUGAGCUUCAGCUAGUCGCUGCAUCUUGCAUGUAAAAACUAGUUCAUGUUUAACAAAAAAAACUUAUUAUGGUGGAUUUCCACCGGUCUUGAAACCCUUACAAAUAAGAAAUUAUUAGUUAAACUAGAUCUACUAGCUUACUGGUCCUAUCAUAAAGCACCGUGCAUCAUAUUUUUUUAAAAAAAGGAAAAAAAGAGAAAAAUAGGAGUCGAGUGCAUUCCAACCCUACUUGCCUCUCUCUUUUUUUUUUUCUUUCCCCAUAGUUAAAACCCCAUUUAGACUCUCCUCUGUUCCUAUCUUCCUCCCUCCUUUAUCCCCACAGUUUUUUUUUUUUUUUAAUGCAGCUAUUGCAAGAUUUUGCCUCCCUGUAGGGCUCUUGGAGAGGGCAGAAGAAAAGGGGUAGUGAAGGCCGCAUUUACCAAUGCCAACUACAAGAGGCUGCUGCUCGGAGACAAGGAGGCCAAGGCGACAACGCGGGCGGCGGCGCCGAGAAAGAGGAGACAAGAGUCUUGAGUAUUUUAGAAUCUAAUUUAGAUUUAUACAUUGUAGUAAAAAAAUAAAUAAUUUGAAGUUAUAAUUAUUCCAAAUAAAAACACAACAGUGAUAUCUAAUCCAGUUAGCCAAAAUUUAUGUCAAUGUUGAUAUAACUAUAUAAAUAUAUCAUAUGCAGCCGUUAAUUGGUGACCUCCAAUAUCUUAAAAAAACAGUAUCUUGUUUUUUUAGAAAAAAAUAUAUAUCGUAUUUAAUUACAGUCCUGAUCUUUUUUUUAUGGCUAUAACUCUUAAAUAAAAAGCCCAAACAAAAAGAUGCAUGAGAGCGUCAUGAUAAAUGGAUGAGUCAUCCUCCUCGAUCCUGACACCAUGUAAAAGCAACUAUAUUUCUUAGAGCCAUGGUGCGAGGCACUAAUUUUGUGCACAAAACACUUCUCUUGUCAUAUGGCAUAAGAUUAUCAGUGCAAUCCACAGGAUUUGUUGCCAUGGACAAGGGAUUAGCUGAUUAUAGAAUUUUCAAAUCAGCACUUGUGGGUGCAAUCAACUUUUGUGUGUGUGUGACGGACAUCCCCUAUCCCCUAGCUUCAAUCCCCAUAAUAAUCUGAAUUACAUUUCUAGUUUAAAACUUUAAAUCGUGCCAACCUUUUAUAAAUGAGAGACUCUAAUUUUGCUAGGUUCAAAGAGUAUAAGCAAAAAUUUACAUGAUUUUAGAUAUAAUAAGAGUCAUUAGUCCUUUAGAAUCUAAAAUCAUAAUGAUUCUUUGGUCGAAGAAAAACUUAUUUAAAAUCUUUAGCAGUAUCAUUGCCUCAUCCACACUACUUUUUAAAACAACUAUUCUACAUCUAAAAUCUUUAGUAGUAGCAUGUGCCCAAAUUCAGUAAGAAAAUGAAAAUUAAAUCCUCUCAAAGGAGGGAGAGAGAAGGAAAAUGGAAAAAAAAAAGAAAAGAAAGAGAGGGAAAGAAGAAACUAAAGAACCCAAGGGUGCCAGACAAGAAUUACAAACUUAAGCAUGAGAACACACUAAACAACCAAUUUCUUGUCUUCUGGAGACAAGUUUAGUCCAGUCCUCCAGGAGGAAGAAGAUCUUGUGAAUCAACACUUUUUGCUGCUAGAUGUGUUUCAAAAAAUCUGGACUCUCUCUCUAGCCAAAUGGUCCAACCGAGAAGAACCCCUAUGACAUUCCACCCCUUUCUUUGCUCCUUCAAACCAUCAAAAUGCACACAAACCAUUAAUCACUAAUAAGAUUUAGGGAGAGUGGAUCAGUUUAGCUUGGAAAUGCAAAGAAUUACCAUAGCUUACAGGACAUGGUCGGCUACAACGAUAAGUGCAAGGUUGUCUACAAUGGUCAGUGCCAGGUCGAACAGAAUUAAAAAAUUUCUGCACAUACAUGGCAAGUACAAGGUUGUCCACCGUAGCAAGUCAGCAAGCUACAGUUUUUGGAUUUUUCUACAGAUCCAUCUCAAUCAUCAUGUCCUUGAAUGAACCUCAUCAGCAGUAGUUGGAUUCUUAUUCGUAUAGAUGGCAUACCAAAGUUGGUCGGCAAAUCCAAUUUAAAACCACAACAUAGAUCUUUUUUUCUGUUCUAUAUAUCCUCUCGUCGACACUUUGCCAACUAACCAUUGCAAUAUUCGGGAAAGCAGCCAUAGCAACAGAUCAAAUUGGCCAACAGAUCCCUGAUUUUUUGCAAGGAUUCCACUGGCUCCUCUUUCUAUCCUUUUAUCUACAAGAUGCAUCUGUCAUGCUCUAAUAUACUUCCAUGGGAUCAUAGUGGUAGGAUUAUUUAAAGGAAUAUAUGCCAAUCCCUUCUCAGCAACUCCACCAGUCGCAUCACGGGCAACUUAACGGUACCCUCGCGUGCCUCAGUGGCCUUCGAGCCACCCACCAUCAUGCAAUUUUUAGGAGUUUUGGUAGUAUGUUUGGUAUGUAUCUGUAUUGUUGCGCAUGGAAAUAUGCCUGUGGGAAUUCAUCAGAAUAUUUUUUAAUGAUACAUUCCGGGUUCAUCCUUCAAAGUGGUGGCGGUGGCAACUAGAGGCUUGUUGUCUAGCAGCACCACCAAUGAAAGUGACAAGCAUAAUACAUUGAUGCCCUGGGUGGCCAUUUAUCUUUUUUUUUUUUUUUUCUUUCCUAAAACGGAUGAUUCAUACAAAUCUAGUGCAGAUAUAUCCCAUAAAAUUAAAAUACACUAGUCACGUACGUGAUCGCCCAGUCCGUGGCCAUGUUGGUCUUCUUGUAGACAUGCAUAGCUUGAAAAACUACCUCACAGACCAAAGCUCGAAUGUCCCGGAUCAUAGGAUGGCACACAUCCACACUGCCAACCGUCUGCUAGAUCUAUUCGAUGACCGUAGCCGAGUUCCCCUCAAGUAGCACUGUGCUAGCUUGCAAAACUCACCGGGCAUAACUAAGCCCGGCCCAUGCCGCCCUCAGCUUUGUUCCGGAACUGAGGUGUCAAAAAUCUGGCAAUCUCCAGCUGCAACCACAUCCAUCUUUUCUUCUUGAAAUGAAUUUUAAAUAAAACCAUGGAAGGUUUAAACAUAUCUUGACUUAUAUAAUGGUUAAAAUACUAAAUUAUAGAACAAUGCAUUAACUAGCAAGACCAAUUGAUGCUGAAGGCAUUGAAUAGAAUAUGUAGCAUCAGAUUUGAAGAUAGAACUUGCUCAAAAAAUUAAGAAUAUAUAUGUAGAAAUAAGUGGUACUUAAAAAAUAACAUGGUUGUACAAGAAAAAUAUAGAUAUCCGAAAGUUUGAUUCAAAAUGUAUUAAUUUAUACUGGCCAAGGUAGUGCCGUAUAGUGAUCUAUAUUCCUACUAGCAAGUGCAUAGCAUUGUCAUAAGGCAAGGCAAUAGCAUAGCCAAGAAGAAAAUCUUGAUGGGUUAACCAUAACAUCAAAAGAUCAUAUAUUCCUACUAGCAAGUGCAUGGUAACGUCGUAAGGCAAUAGCCUUACAACUUGAGUGUCUUUAGGCUGGACUUGCUUGACGAAGGUAAAUGGAAACUCGUAGUAUUUUCAGAAGAAGGCCAUAACAUGGUCGGUCAUAGAAGAAAAACCAUAAAUAUAUCAGGCUAUCGCCUAAUGUUCGAGAUGGAUGAAUUUAUACUGACCAAUAUGCCGAUACUCGAUACACAUAUUGGCAAGUGCCGUAGUUUUGUCAUAAGCCAAUAUCAUGGUCAAGGUGAAAAUCUUGCUUCUAAAACGUGAGCGCCAUCUGCUUUCCUUCCAGGGUACUUGAGUUAAUCUUGGGUUAAACUUGGGCAUGCACCAAGCUUUGCUACUAAUCUAAUUUGUCUUACAACUUUACUGUGUCAAGGUCCAAUUAGCACGCCAGCCAGGCCAUCAAAUCCGGGCCAGGGAGACUUGUUGACUCAAAAGCAAUUAAUUUUGGAAUCAACUUAGAUUUGACUCCAUGACUAAAUCAGCUGGCUGGUACAGGAGAAUUGGACACGCCACAUCCUCUCAUUCCUUUCGAUGAAGGGAGACAAGGCCACUUAAUAACGGAGAUGCCGCAUUAAGCAGGGCGAGAUACUUUGUUUUUUUUUUUUGAUAAAUUAGAUGCAUUAAAUUAAACUAAAUAUAAAUAGAUACAUUUGUGAGAAUUAAAAAAUAAAAUAUCUUAAAACUAAAUUAAAAAAACCAGCCAAAAAAACAUAAUAUUGAUCCCGCAUGGUUAGUCAUCCAAUAUACCAUCUAAUCAGAAGUACUGUUUGCAAAAUAUCAUAGUUUGAUUUUUUUUCUCUUGAUGUGCACCUGAUAUUAAUUAUCAUACUUACUAUCCAUACACUGUUGUCUCUUGACCCAUACGUUGGGCCCUCCAUGCUACAUCAUCAGCCCAAUACUCAUACAACAUGCAGGGAAACCUCACUCCAAUGCCGCUAGCUAAUAAAAAUUUGGCACGUCAUAUAUGGUCCUGUCUACAGGACAUCAGUGUCCACCUAUCAUUUGCUACGAUUGAUGUCGUCGUGUACGUGCAUUGGCGUGGAGCACCUAAUUGAACGUGUGCGUAUUAAAUGUCGGAUCGGCUUUCUAUUUUACCAUAUUUUUUAGCAUUCAUCUUAAAGCAGAAGUCUGAUCCUAUGAUUAAAAAAUAAAAAAAGUAAAUCGGGUGCAACAACCUCUUUCUUUCUUAUUUUUGGAAUAUAUUUUCUACUGGUAGAUACUAUAUGACUAAGUGAUGCACAUUAAGUAAAUUGAUACAUAGUUUUCAAAAUAUUAUUUUUAUUAGCGCACACUACAUAGUGGAAUGAUAUACACUAAACAAAUUAAGUAAUCAGAUAAGACAAUACAUAGCUCUAGAUAAAUCGAUAUAUAGUUUCUAAAAUAUAGUAUUCAUCAGUACCAAUAUAUAGUGUACGAUUUUCUAAUUUUAUCUAGCAUAAGAAAUUAUAUAUACAUAUCAUUUUUUAAAUUUUAUGAAUAUUUAGGUGCAAAAAUUUUGAAAAAGAAAAAAAAACUUGGAGGAUGAGAAAAAUCUAGGAAAGAAAAAAGAAAACAAUGAUGGAUAGAGAGACAUAGCGAGAAAGAAAAAAAGAAUGUUAUAUGUGAAAUACUAAAAUAAUAGGCUACUUCGCUUGUUAAAGCUGUACCUAAUUUUGCCUAAUUUUUGAGCUUUUAUGGUAGGUACCAGAAGAAAAAAAAAUCUAAAAUAGAAAGCCCACCCCAACUGAUUUUUGUUCCUUGUGUUCGUCCUAUAAGCGGGGAAGUUGUGGGAAAUAAAAACCACCCAAAAUAAAACAAAACACCGGAGUCCAAAGAUCCCGGUUCCGUCUCCUACCCUCAGAUUUGAUGCUUAAGCAACCUAACGGUUGUAUCUUUUGCACAAAAGAGUAAUUGAUCUUCUUUCAAGACGUCGACCUUUGGAUCACGUCUUACACAGAUCUCAAAUCACUCCGUAGUCCAUCAUUAACCAAGUGCAUGGAUCUCGAAGACGCUAUUACGCGAUCCAACGAUGGAUUCGCAGGAAGAAAGGUAAAUCCUUCUUUCGCGUGCAAGAUACAACCCCUAUCCGUCCCAAUCACUCACCGGGCCACUGCACAAGUCAAGGAAAAGCGGCAAACCCAGAUACCGACCAAACCCCUCUUCCUCUCUUCUCAGCUUCCCUCUCCACUUACUCUUGCAACCAAAAUUUCCUUCUCCCAUCUCAUAAGUAGGCGAAUAGCCUUGACCACUCCCCUGGUUGUUCGAUAGGGAAGAGAAAAAAGAGAGAGAAAUAAAGGUGAUGGCGGAGGAGUCGUGCUGCGGGCUGAUGUUCUGGGUGUAUCUGCUGAUAUGCGCGGCGUUGGUGUCGUUCGCGGGGUUGAUGUCCGGCCUCACCCUCGGCCUCAUGUCCCUCAGCCUCAUGGACCUCGAGGUCCUUGUCAAGGCCGGCCAGCCCGAGGACCGGAAGAGAGCCAGUAGUCCACCAUUACUACUCUUCUUUCUCUCCUGUCUCUGCCUCCAGCUCCACUUUUUAUUCUUUCUUCAUCUCAUCUUCUCCAUGUGUUUGUGCUUUUGGGCGCAGCCAAGAUUCUGCCCGUCGUCAAGAAUCAGCAUCUGCUGCUCUGCACCCUUCUCAUCGGCAACUCCCUGGCCAUGGAGGUCCCACCCUCGCUCUCGUCCUUUUCUUGGAUUAUUAGGUUUGAGGAUUUUGGUGCUGCAGAUAACCUCUUCGUCAUAUUCAGGCUUUGCCCAUAUUUCUUGAUUCUUUGGUUCCGGCGUGGGGGGCGAUACUGAUAUCCGUGACCCUUAUCUUGGCUUUUGGUGAGGUAAUUUCUUGAAUGUUUGCUCACUUAUUUCAGAGGGUUGGAACUUUGGGACCGGAGAUCAGUUUCUUGACGGGAGCAUAUUUGCUUUUCAUUAACCUAUAGAGGGGAGAUACAUGAUUUGAUCUCUUGUUGGUUUUCAAGAUAAUUCCGCAAGCAGUGUGUUCACGCUAUGGAUUGAGCGUGGGAGCCAAGCUGGCUGGGGUUGUUCGAGUGCUUUUGGUGGUCUUCUUCCCCGUAUCUUAUCCUAUUAGUAAGGUAACUCCUCCUUGCUUUGAUUUAUUCAGAAUUAGAAUCAUGGAUUUGAAACUUUUAAGGGUGAUUUAAUUCAUUAUCUUCUGCAACCUCUACCAUGGUAGAAGUUUGUGGCAUUUUACUAGCCUCGAUUAGAUUGGUCUACUCUUUGAAUAACAUCAAACGAUGGAGACCUUGAUCAAACAUGAAAACCAUGUGAAUGGCAACCCAAUUUUGGAAAGAUAUAAUAUUUGAAAAUUUCCUUUUAAUUUUGAAGUGCUGGAGGUACAUGCUUGUUUCAGGAGAAAAGAAACUACAUACGAACCACACAUAUACCCCUGCCAUCCUCAUCUUACUUGACACAUGAUACAUGGUCCAGUUUGAUAGUCGGCUUGCAUAUGCAAAUGAUGGACUAUUUUAGUAAUUCACAGUACUUAUUUGUCUAACAUACGCAAAUGAUGGAGUAUUUUAGCAAUUCAGAAUAUACAUGACUUUUAAAUUGUGUUUAAAACAUGGAGUAAGGUUUAUCAACAAAAGAAUUGAGGAAAAACAGUUUUGGAAUUAGUGCAACUUUACUGUUCCUAUCUUCCCAUACAUGUUUUUCUUUACAGUCUUCUAAGUGAUGAUUAACUCACUUCCUUUGGCUAUAAGCCAUUACUAAUGGUUCUACAAUCAUUCUUCACAAAAUGUCAACUAAGACAGUACCACAAUGCAAGGUGCGACAAUACUUGAAAGCAGCAUCUAUUUUGAUCAUAUCCAUUUUCAAGGUUUUCUAAGAGUCAGCCUUCACUGGGCUUCAUGUUCUCAAAGUUGCUGAGAAUCUCUUAGGCUUGCUUCUAUUGUUUACUUGUUUCAACUUUAAGGAUGACGACCUUUUCUUUUAAGUGCAAAACAUACUUGAAGUAAUCUUCAGACCGUCUAUUACUUGUCUGGGUUAAAUAUAUCUAAUGAAAUGCAUGCAUUGUUUGUUAUUGAUGGCACCAGGUCAUCUUUUUUUUUUUUGCAUUUCCUCUUUUUCCAUAAUUCUGAAAAUCAUAUGCCCAUGGGUCCCACUUGACCUAGGUUAAUCAUUAAUGCAAACAUGCAUACUAAGAGAAAUCUUAAUGACUUCAUCUUAAGAUACUUGUCUGUCUUUAUCCAGUCUUCCUAUGUUUCCUUAUGCUUCUGUAGAAUUGAUACUUGAUAUUUUAAUAUCGAUGCUCUUUACAGCUGUUGGACUGGAUUCUGGGAAAAGGGCACUUUGCACUAAUGAGGAGGGCUGAGUUGAAGACGCUGGUGGAUAUGCAUGGAAAUGAGGUUGGCUUUAUCUCAUACUUCAUUACUAUUUGUCGAGUGUUUUAACUAAGAAGAAGAUUAUUUAUAGUAAGACCUAUUAAGACUGGACACUUUAUUGCACAUAAGCCAUUUAUCUAAUGUAUGAUAUGAUUUGAUGUGACGGGUAAUUGAUUAUGAGUCUGCUCAGGUCCACACACAUAUUUAUAGUGACUAUGUAUAGUGACAUAAUUUAAAAGGUCAAGAGAAGUUUAUAAUCAUUAGGUGUAACCCUUUAUGUAUCAAGCAGGCUAACGAAUGUGAAAUCCUCAAACCAUUGGAAUCUCCAUCUUUAUAUGCGAACAGUAGUAUAUGUUUCAUGAAUUGCAACAUGCAACUGGAAUGAACUUAUCAAUUAGAAAUAGAAAGUUGGUCUUGAUAAAAUAAAGACAUGCCAUUCAUCUAAAUACUUGUGUGAAGAAAUGAAAAAGGUUUUCCAAACUGAUAACCUUAUGAAUAGAAGAAAGAAGUCGUGUAUGUUUUGAUGCUUAUGUAUUUCAGAAGAAAGAUAACAGUAGCAUUGUCUAAAGGUGUAUGAAAACUAAAGCAAUAACUAGAGGCGGCUUAUCUUGUGCAAUCUUGUGACAAAAUCAGACUAAGCUAACAUGCAAGACCAUAACAGUUUCGCACCAUCAAGAUGAGGUCCCAAUAUUGAGCUUUUACAGUCUUACCAUUGAAACAGAAUAUUCUCCGUGGAAGAAAAAUCUUGAUGCAUUUGUGAAAUAAUUUAUCAAUUAAAAGCAAUAUGAUACAGCUGAAUUCUUCGAAUAUGUGAUUUUCAUAUUGUUAUUUUAUGUGCGGGCAGUUGCAAAAUUUGGGGAGAUUUUUGCUAUAUGAUAAGAUAUUGCUUUCAUUAGUAAAAUUAAUUCCAAUGAUAGCAUGGAAUUGAUUUCCAGGUUCUUGAUUGUAGCUUUGGCGAUCUAACAGUUUCUUCCUUUUCAAAUAAUUACCACUGAAUUAGUUGCCUUUUUUCCUUCUCCUGUCUCCAACUAGUUUUGUUCAAUAACUAUAUCACAAAAAUUUAUUCAUCGCCAACUUUUAAAUAAGUCUCUGAAUCUUGUCCAGAGAUUGAUGGUGUUUAGUCUGGACACCCUGUGGUCUCGAAGAAGUUUGUUCCUGUCUUAAAUCCCUCAUUCUUUUAUUACUUCUGUCUAUUGAUAAAUAGUGCUCAGAUAAAUGGAUCUCUCUCAUUUUGUUAUGGGUCUUCUUAAACCUUCUAUGUUGCUGUGUGUGUCUUUAUCUACUUUGUCUGUACAAUUCUUAGGUGCUAGUUUUGGUGAUUUUGGCUCAUUCCUUGGCACCUUUAUCACUCUACCUCUUCUCAUAAUCUCUAUCUUUAAUUUAUUACGUGAGGAUCCUUAAUAGAUCUAUGCCACCUUUUUGGUUUUAUUUUUAUUCUUAUCUUUUAUUAUUAAUUUUUUUCAGCAUUUUAUUACGUCACCUUUCUCCUUUUUUAGUCUCAUGUGGCUUAUCAAGUUUUCGACAUUUGGUCUCUAUGUGUCUUCGUAAUUGGCUUUCUACGUGUUUGCUUCAUUGCCUACAGUAUAUGACCCAUCAUAUUUCAACCUGCAAUCAUGGCAACUCUACAACAUUGUGAUGAUGGAUACAACUAUUCAUGUUGAUCCAAAGGAUUGUGGCAUGUGAGACAUGGUGUGCAAUUACCAUAAAUGCCUAUCAUAGUCAAUUCUAUCUUCAUUGUAUAUCUGCACUUUCUUUGAUCAUAAUAAUUUUGUCAUGUGAAGCUCUUCAUAAUACUAUAUAUAAAUCUGAUUUGUGUUAAACUUGCCCUUCCCUCCACUAAUGUUUUGUUUAUGACUUCUGUCAAAUAUUUCAUAUUUUAGCAUGGUGACACAUAACAUCCAAUUAAGAAUGCGUAGAUGAAUAUACGUAAUGGUUUUGAGAUUAAGUGUAUUUUGUGCUUUUUUAAUUAAUCAAAUUCAGCAGCAGAGAGUGUUCUUCUAAUCUGCUUCUUUGAAGUUUUUGGAUCUCCAGAGUUACAGAUAUUCAUUUUAUUAAGUCUUAUUGUGUUUUAUAAUGUUAUAUACUCUGGAUUUACAUGUUCCGCAUGUUUAUGGGGGGCUACAACCUGUAGUAACUGUGUCCAUAUACGUAAGUGUGUAUGUAUACUAUAGAUGGACUUGUAUACAUAUGUACAGAAACACAUAUGCAUGCAUGUAAAACAUAUGUAUAAGGAGUCCUAGCAAAGAUUUAAUCAGAACAAAAUACAUAAGGGACCAUUGAAAGUUGGGAUCCACAAUAUUAACAUGAUUUUUACAUAUGAAAUGCUUUUUGGAUAACUAUAAUCAUGGAGCCUUUUCCCAAUUCCUAAUCUCCAACUAUUCCUGUUAGGGGCUACCUACGGUGUUAUUGCAAGCUUUUUCAAAUUCCUUUCUCACAACUUCUAUCUGGUUAGCUUUAGUGCUCCUCUCCUCUUUCUAGAACCUUUACCACAAAUUUGAGCUCCUUUUCUUGCCAGAGCUUCCUCAAGUUUUUGUUCUGCACAUGGUAUGCUGAAUCGGCCCGUAUCGGCCGGUUCAACCUGGGCCGGACUGGUCUGGUCCCUGACUGAUCCGGUUCAAGCAUAGAAAACGGUUGGGCCGAAACCGAGCGGUACAAGCCUGGUAUCGGUGCAAACCAGACCGGUUCGCACGCCCUGGGCAGCGCACCUGCGUGGGCACGAGCUGGGAACCCCGCCUGUGCGCGGUUCCUUGUGCUUGAAACUGUGCCCGUGCGGGCACGCGAUAGGCAGCACGCCUUGCGUGGGGCAUUUAAUGUCAUAGAGUGGUACCGGUUUGAAUCGGUCCGAACUCGAACCAUACCGAUCCAGUAAGCGAUUGGUACGCCUACCGGUACCGGUACGACGUACCUUAGUUCUGCAUGCCUCUAACAGAAAUCAGUUAAUUUAAAUGUUUACGAUUUAUUAUAAGACAACAAUUGGAUUAAUUUUUGGUAUAGAAGUAUUUGAAUCCACUCAAUGCUGGCUGAUAACUAUUUGAACUUGGAAGCUUGUAUGCCACGAUUGGUGGUCUUGGUUCUUAGUUUACAUGGGUCACCAUUGGUUCUUAACAGAAGUUGCAUUCAACAACAUAUUCCUUGUUUUUUUUACAUGACUUUUAUCUAGUCCUCUUUUUUUACACUAUAUAAAAUAUUAAUGCAUCAUAUCAAUUUGUUAUACAUGAGUGUCAUGCACUCACAAACUAUUUUAUGCUGUAGACAAUUAAUUGUCUAUGCAUGUGUGCAUGCAUGAGAGUCUGUGCUUAUUUUCUUCAAAUAAAUGGGGUGUGUGUGUGUGUGUGAGGGGGGGGGGGCUCUUAACCCCUCACACCUUUUCGAAAAAAAAAAGAUUAUGUGCUUAUAUAUAGUAGGAUGGCAAACGAACAAUGAAUUGAGAAUAUACAUUAGAAAGGUUUAAUCUUAACUGCAAUGUAUCUGAAACAGCUUAUGAUGGUAAUGUUUAAUUUUCUUGGUGUGCAGGCAGGAAAGGGUGGAGAGUUGACUCAUGAUGAAACCACUAUUAUUACUGGAGCAUUACAGAUGACCGAAAAGACUGCGAGAGAUGCUAUGACGAAAAUAUCCGAUACCUUUUCCCUCGACAUAAACUUUAAUCUUGAUAUGUCUGUGCUUUUGUCCUGUUACUGUAAAAUUGACUUUUACAUAUGUUCGUAUUAUUGACAUUUAUCUCUUUUUAGGUACACUAUGGGUUUAAUAAUGACUAAAGGGCAUAGUCGUGUGCCAAUCUACUCUGGGAGCCCAACAAAUAUUAUUGGCCUUAUUUUGGUGAGUAAGAUAGCUAGCUAAUGAAUAUGUAAAAUUUCUAAAAGCUUUGAUCUUGAAAUAAAACAUGAGAACAAUAUCAUUUGUAAUAUGAAGAAGUCUAAAAUAGAUUAGUGAUAGUGUAAAUAUUUACAUUAUUUUUUCAAUUAUUAUGCAUCUCUUUUCCUUGAAAACUUAAAAAGUGAAAUAAUUAUGUAAUCUCUUUUCUGGUUAUAUCUGGUAGCAUUUUAGUAUGUAAAUAAUCGUUCUGUAUAGAAUAUAGUGAAAGCCCUGGGGUUUACCACUCUUCUUGUCAAGGAAUAGUGUUUUGGAGUAGAACUCUAAGUUGAGUAGGCUCCCUGCAUGGAUUGAGUGGACUUCUACUCUCAGUAUGUCAAACCCUUUGAAUUGGUUCUGUUCCUAACUUAGUCAACUUUAGGCAAAAAUAGCUUGUUGGACCUGCCAAUGAGACUAGAAAGCCAACCUUAUCACACUUUUGCUCAUGUAAGCAGGUAACAUUUGCCAACUUUUCCUAGACUUACGAAGGGUUUUAGCAUAGAAGUAACAUGGCAGUCUGAAGCUUUGGAUAAGAUGUUUGAAUUUUUUUAGGCCUACAAAGAGUCUUGGAAGAGGAGGAACAUGAUGGUUUGGUAGAAUGAGCGAUAGCUUUCAAUGAAGUUUUUACCCGUAUUGAUGCAGAGAGAAAAGGAAGAAGGGGCAAUUUGAUCAAUGUGGUUAUACUUCAAAGAUCAACACGCAAAUAGAAGAAAAUUGGAUUGAAGAAUUCUUCACUUAGUGAAAGAAAUUCUCUCGAAAGAAUUUUAUUGAUAUCUCAACAUCUGUCUGUUAUAAUGUAUUACAUAUAUAUUUAUAGGACAUGAUAUGCUAACCCUAAUUCAAGCAUUAAACCCAAUGCAGAAUCAUAUUGAAAAUAGGACUCGACAAUAAGAAAACGUACUACAAUUAUUCUAUUAUAGAUAUGGAAACAUGACUAAAAUUUGAUAAUGUCUCUAAUGAAAAAUUUAUAAAAAAUCUGCCAAAAAUCUCAAAAUGUUGCCUAUUGCAGUUUUUGAUCACGAAUCUGCUGGCUCUUGGCAUAAUCUAGCUGGUCAUAGUGCCUGUUGGCUGCAUCUUAUGCCGCAUUACUUAUUUUACUUAAUCGGAGUCUAACAUGCAUGCUUGAGUUAUUUUGAGUUAAGGAUUUAAAUAUUAGAUAUACUAGCCCAUUUUUAUGCUUGUAUGUGCCAUAUAAGCUAGAAUCAAUAGUCAGUGUCUCCUUGAGACCAUUGCAUGGCUCAAGCUUCCUUGAACCAGCCCUUGAUCAAUCUCAUAUCGCGCGACAUCAAGCUCAAAGCUGUUUUGCACCUUUCUUUUGCUUCUUUCUUUCUUUUUUUUGGUUUCUGAAUAUUUAAUUCAUGAAAUAUGGCCCAUCUAGCUUGAAUAAUGGUUAAAAUAAUUGCAAUAAAAAAAGAUAAAAAUCAGGAUUAAAAAUGGUCAUGCCACAAGGUGCACCGGUCAACGUAGCUGUGUUGGUAGGUAUGCUAUGUCAGGGUGGUAUUUAUCAAUGACAAAUAUGGACCUCUACCUCUAUUUUUUAAAACCUUUUUUAGGAGAUAACAUUUUUUUUGUAUGUUUUCAAUUCAAAACUUUGUUUUUGGCCAUAAAUUUAUACUAUUUUCAGUUGUCAUAUUAAUAAUUGUAUUACUAUUAUAUAGACUUUGCAUAAUUGUAUAGUGCAUGUAGUACACCGCAGAUUAGUAAUUCUGUCAUAUAUGAUACGACUAGUAUGUUAUAAAGUGGGGAACCGUGUUUUCAUGAUACAUAAAAUGAGAGAUUUUAAAAGUAAGUGUAAACAGCUGGUAGUGGUCUUUGCCCCCUCUGCAGUAUGAGCAACUGCAACCUUGAUGGCUAGGCCUGAAAUUGGUAAAACUGAAUUUCUUAUUCUUUAUUUGCAUGCUCUAGAUUCUUUUAGUUGAUGUCAUUUUGAUACUAUGGCGUUCUGACUAUUUAUCUUGCUUUCAGGUUAAGAAUCUGAUCACUUGCCGACCUGAAGAUGAGGUCCCUAUUAGAAACGUUACCAUCAGAAAAAUUCCUAGGUAUGGUUUUCCUUUUCUAUACAUAAGUCAUAUAUAUUUAUUUAUCUUAAGCACGAAAAUUGCUUUGCUCUAUUUUGUUUUGUAAACAGCAAGAUGCAUAGUGGAGGACAACAUGUAAAACUUACUUUUGAGCGUAUUAGAAAAGUCAUAUUUAAGCCUACCAAAACAAAACAAAGCAAUAUAUCAGGAAUAAACCCGUGGCGACCAGGAAUAGAUUAGCCUUUAGAGUGUUCACCUGUGAAAAGAUCGACAGUUUGAGGUGAUACUUGAAUGCUGGCCGAGUGAUGAUAUGCUAAGGUCAUUGUGAUAGAAAACUUAUUGCAGGCCAAUAUAUGCUUAUCUUGCUUAUAUGAUUUUCUGGAUGAACCAGUUGAUACACUGAUUUGUGGGAUUACAGAGCCUAAAAAACAAUUUUAAUUACAAUCACAGGCCAUAGCAUGGCAUGUUAUCAUUCUUAGAUGUUGUAUAUUGGACUUGGUUCCUUCUUCCUACUUCUAUGAUUAUUAGAAAGAAUGGAGAAGCUAAAACUUUAUUAUCUUGGUAAUAUUGCCAACCUCUCAAAUAUACAUUACAGGGCCUGUUCUUCAACGGAAGGGAAUGAGCUUGUGACUUAGGCUUUUGUGAGAUAAUAGAUAAUACAUUCUAUCUGUUUAUUAAUUAAAGAACAUGGAGGAAAAACUUAUCUUGAUAAUUAAAUAUCUUCGGUCAAGGCCUGACAAGUUCUUGACUUGGGAGAAUUUGCUUCAGGAACUUGGAUUCCCUCUGGAAUAUUGGAAGUAGAAACCAUGGAACAACAAUGAUCAUGUCCGAGAAAGAUAUACCUCUUUCGGGAUGAGCUGGUCUUUCGCCUAUUGCAUAUCAUAUGUGAUGAAACAUCUGGUUAAAUAAGUCCUGAACUCAAAUGUGAUUCAAAAGGAUACUAUUGAGUAAUUAUACAUGUGACAAGUUCAGAAGAUGAAACUAUGUACCUCACAAUGAAAUGGCGAGAAAAUGCACACCGCAUAAUAUGAUAUUUCAUACAUCAGGUAUGGCGAGAGAUCAUAUUGGCAUAGCAUCAUCUUAGGCUUUUGAACUUCGCUGUGAUAACAAUUGACGUAGGACAGCUUAGAGUUUAGGAAUAAAGCACUUGAUUAACACUUGGAGCACAUGAUUAAGUAAUAGUUGGCCUGGUUUCUGGUCAAGAUGACUCAAUUAUCUCAACUAAAGCGGUCAUUAACCCUUGAAGCUCUUGAUUCAUGUCACUCAAAAGCUUGACUUCCAAUUGCAUCAAUGAUCUAUUAAAUAAUUAGGUUCUUGAAGUUUUAAUAUGAAGUGCAUUGCACGAAAGGUGGUUUUUCCUGAUAAAUUCAGACUACUGAAAUAUUCAAGUGUUGAUACAAUUUUUUUUGUGUCAGAUUCCAGUUAUUUUUAUCUUCAUAUUCAUCACAUAAUAUUGUCUCAUGACACGUUCUGUGUACCAGGGUAUAUGAUGACCUUCCUCUCUACGACAUACUGAACGAAUUUCAAAAGGGCCACAGUCACAUGGCUGUGGUUGUUAAACACAAUAAGGAUAUUGGACAAACAACAGAAAAAAGCAAGAGCAAUAUUUUAGAGAAUAGAAUGAACCAGAAUAGGAAACACAUGCCAGCUGAUGGUAUUCCUGGUAUGAAUUAUGACAUCACACAUUAUUAAAGUUGGCAUAAUUGAAUUAUUACUUAUAACUGAAAUGUUAUGUAUUCGAUCCCUUUUUAUAUGGAACCGCUUGUGCAUAGUGAAAAACUAGUAAUUUGUGUCGACAAGGUAGUGAUUACUGAUUUUCCAGGAGACGGAUCUCAAUUAGUUUUGACUGAGCAUUUGGGUGUCAUUACAAAAGCAUCCCCUGUGAAUAGUAAUGUCCCUGAUAGUCAGAGUCAUGUGAAACGAAGCAACAUGGAGAAACAUGGAGAGGUGCGUUCACAAUUGAAGAAGUCGGAGCGAGGACGGCAUGACAAUAUUCUUGAUGUUAAUUUGGAUCCCCUUCCAAGCUAUUCAGUUGAUGAAGAAGUGAUUGGAAUUAUAACAAUGGAAGAUGUUAUGGAGGAAUUGCUACAGGUUGAAAAUCUUUUAGCGGACAAUAUUUCUAAUGAUUUUUAAGACUAACCAUGAUGAAAUAUGCUUUAUCUCGAAUCUGAUUGCUCCUAUCAUGAUAUAUGUAGCCAUUGUUUAUACAUUGCGUGUGCUUACAUAACUGGCAUUAACUUGACAUGUAGAUCUCCUGCUUCUGUUUGAUAUGCAUUGUGGAUCUGAUUCUUCAUCUAUAUUCCUGAUUCUUUGGUCAGUAAUUAUGUACGUAAAGAUGUAGAUCCACCUUUGGGAGUUCCUAGUGCAAUAUUUACGAACUUUAGUUACACUAGCUUUUUAGUAGAGCAAGUAGAACAUGCUUGUAUCAAUACAAGGUUCGUAUAAGGUGAAGAAGAAAAUCGAUUUAAAACAGUCUCCAGUAUAGUGUGGAGCCCAUGCUCUUCCACUUGAAGAUUACUAAUGAUGUAAUAAUAGAUUUAGCUUUUCGUAAGUUAAGGUAAGAUCUCUUUCACCCUGAUACAUACAGUUGCACAUACACAUACAUACAUAUUGCUCUAAACAUGGCAUAAUAUUCUUUUGAAUUGUUGUUGUUGACAGCUCUGCACAAUGAUGAUAUUGGUAUACUGAAUUUCUCUCAACUUCCAGUCAGGUUUAUCUUGGUAUUUAUAUAUAUCAAUUGAAUUAUUAUGUGAUGCAUGCAAUUUUUGCUUUUCUUUCUUUUGUAAAUCCAGAAACUGUAGUUUGUUGAGUGCACUUAAUUUCUGGUUCAUGGAACUGAAUUUAGCAGUAAAUGUAUGUCUUCAAACUACGUUAAAUUAUUUCAAACAUGAAUUGAACCGGAUUUUUUUAAUCAAGUAGUUGGGUUUCCAUAAAGAUGGCCUCUUUGUUACAUUAUUCCAUACAUGAAUGAAACCAGAUUUUUCUAAUAAAGUAAUUGAGUUUGCAAAAGAUGUUCUAAUUUUGACAUGCUUGACUCAUCAUUGGUUUCUUACACUCUGAUGCUAUCAGAAAUUAAAAUGCACAUAAUUUGAAUUAACAGGUUAGUGUACAAUCAAAAUAUAGAUAUUUGUUGAAGCACAAAUACUGCAAUGUUCAGGUAUCAUGACUUUGCUGCUUCUCGAAGUGCAUGACUUGAUGGAUGCUAAUCCAUUUGAGUUGUAUGGCUUACUGAAAAUCUAACUUAGAGCACAAUCCAGGAUCAACUUUUCUAUAAGCCAGUCAUUUUUAAGGUGACAGAAAGUAGUUUUAUCCCUGAUCACAAAAAAUGAUUUAGACUUUUGAGUUAUGCUAGAAUUCUUUGGGUUUCUUUUUUCUUUUUUUUUGCUUAAAGCAACUAAUUUUUUCUUAGGUUAAGUAACUCUACCAAUAUAUGGAGGGGAACGUUUUGAGAUUUUAUCAUUUUACUUGUUGAAUUCUAAAUUCUCUUCCUGGUGAUUCCAUGUGAUUAUGUUCUCUUUUGUCCUUCUUUCUAUUUGCUCCUUCCAUCUCCUCUGUCCCAUAACUUGCCUGCUUCACCAAUAGACUCCAUCAUCUGGUCUUAAGGCAAAAUGAAACAAGUUCUCUCAAGGUUAAUGUGUCAGUGAAUGCAUAUAGAUAAGCUGGGAUGAUGUACAGAAGACUUUGAGAGUCAUUAAGAAGAUGGUUUCUAAGAUAGAGCUAGAUUACCUUGUUCUUCGUGUUUCGAUGUUAAGGCUGCAUUCUUUGGCCUAGCCUUUGCGUCCUUUGAUUUAGGCUUUAUAAUGGGGCAAUACCUUUUAUCUUCUUCUCUAUCUUCUUCCUUGAAACUAAAGUGAGAUCUAAUUUAAGUAGAACAUGAUAUUAUCUUAUUUUGCCUGCACCUGACAUUUGAAGGUUUUAAAUGGUUUCUUCCAGAUCCUUUAUAAUAAAGUAAUUGAGUUUCCAAAAGAUGUUCUAAUUUUGACAUGCUUGACUCAUCAUUGGUUUCUUACACUCUGAUGCUAUCAGAAAUUAAAAUGCACAUAAUUUGAAUUAACAAGUCAGUGUACAAUCAAAAUAUAGAUAUUUGUUGAAGCACAAAUACUGCAAUGUUCAGGUAUUAUGACUUUGCUGCUUCUCGAAGUGCAUGACUUGAUGGAUGCUAAUCCAUUUGAGUUGUAUGGCUUACUGGAAAUCUAACUUCGAGCACAAUCGAGGAUCAACUUUUCCAUAAGCCAGUAAUUUAAGGUGACAGAAAGUAGUUUUAUGCCUGAUCACGAAAAAUGAUUUAGACUUUUGAGUUAUGCUAGAAUUCUUUGGGUUUCUUUUUUUUCUUAAAGAAACUAUUUUUUUCUUAGGUUAAGUAACUCAACCAAUAUAUGGAGGGGAACAUUUUAUGAUUUUAUCAUUUUACUUGUUGAAUUCUAAAUUCUCUUCCUGGUGAUUCCAUGUGAUUCUGUUCUCUUUUGUGCUUCUUUCUAUUUGCUCUUUCCAUCUCCUCUGUCCCAUAACUUGCCUGCUUCACCAGUAGAUUCCAUCAUCUGGUCUUAAGGCAAAAUGAAACAAGUUCUCUCAAGGUUAAUGUGUCAGUGAAUGCAUAUAGAUAAGCUGGGAUGAUGUACGGAAGACUUUGAGAGUCAUUAAGAAGAUGGUUUCUAAGAUAGACUUUGAGACUUUGAGAGUCAUUAAUGUGUCUGUUGUUUGUGUUUCGAUGUUAAGGCUGCAUUCUUUGGCCUAGCCUUUGCGUCCUUUGAUUUAGGCUUUAUAAUGGGGCAAUACCUUUUAUCUUCUUCUCUAUCUUCUUCCUUGAAACUAAAGUGAGAUUAAAUUUAAGUAGAACAUGAUACUAUCUUAUUUUGCCUGCACCUGACAUUUGAAGGUUUUAAUGGUUUCCUCCAUAUCCUUUAUAAGAAAGUAAUUGAGUUUCCAAAAGAUGUUCUAAUUUUGACAUGGUUGACUCAUCAUUGGUUUCUUACACUCUGAUGCUAUCAGAAAUUAAAAUGCACAUAAUUUGAAUUAACAGGUCAAUGUACAAUCAAAAUGUAGAUAUUUGUUGAAGCACGAAUACUGCAAUGUUCUGGUAUCAUGACUUUGCUGCUUCUCGAAGUGCAUGACUUGAUGGAUGCUAAUCCAUUUGAGUUGUAUGGCUUACUGGAAAUCUAACUUAGAGCACAAUCCAGGAUCAACUUUUCUAUAAGCCGGUCAUUUAAGGUGAUAGAAAGUAGUUUUAUGCCUGAUCACGAAAAAUGAUUUAGACUUUGGAGUUAUGCUAGAAUUCUUUGGGUUCCUUUUUUUUUUUGCUUAAAACAACUAAUUUUUUCUUAAGUUGAGUAACUCAACCAAUAUAUGGAGGGGAACGUUUUGUGAUUUUAUCAUUUUACUUGUUGAAUUCUAAAUUCUCUUCCUGGUGAUUCCAUGUGAUUCUGUUCUCUUUUGUGCUUCUUUCUAUUUGCUCCUUCCAUCUCCUCUGUCCCAUAACUUGCCUGCUUCACCAGUAGACUCCAUCAUCUGGUCUUAAGGUGAAAUGAAACAAGUUCUCUCAAGGUUAAUGUGUCAGUGAAUGCAUUUACAUAAGCUGGGAUGAUGUACAGAAGACUUUGAGAGUCAUUAAGAAGAUAGUUUCUAAGAUAGAGCUAGAUUACCUUGUUGUUCGUGUUUCGAUGUUAAGGCUGCAUUCUUUGGCCUAGCCUUUGCGUCCUUUGAUUUAGGCUUUAUAAUGGGGCAAUACCUUUUAUCUUCUUCUCUAUCUUCUUCCUUGAAACUAAAGUGAGAUUUAAUUUAACUAGAACAUGAUAUUAUCUUAUUUUGCCUGCACCUGACAUUUGAAGGUUUUAAAUGGUUUCCUCCAGAUCCUUUAUAAUAUUCCUACUUGAAUUUGUUGCCUCUUCAACCUCAUCUACACCCUUCUCUUUACAAAGAAUUUUUAGUUUUGUUUUGUUUUUGUUUUUCUAAGCUGUAACUAGAUUCUAUGGAUUACAUGAAAGUAUACGAUAUUAUUUAGUAUAUAUGUAUCGCUACCUAGAAUAUCACCAAAAAAGGCUAAUUAGAAAGCUAUUAAUUGGGGUCCUUGGCCCUACUUAAAAACCCAAGACCUCCCCAAUGCAUAAUGAUCUGAGAAUAAACAUAUGCCUGCAUAGGUCCUCACUCUCAUCAUUUAAGCCUUGAUAUCCUCUUUAGGGAAGAGUCCAAUCGGAAAUAGAAACACCAUGAUUGGAUUGUAACUAUAAGGGCCUUGUGCUGCAAUGUCCCCUAGUCUAUAUGGGCUGUGGGCCGAGUUGGCUCUAAGAUCAUUUGUAACAAUCUAGGAUCUCAGAAGGUGAGCCAAAAAGUUAUUAAUGGAAGUUUUUGGCCCUGCAUAAAUACCCAAGAUCUCCUUAAUGCACAAUUGAAGGGGGGCUAACCACAUGCCUGCAUGGGUCCUCAUAAUAUGCACGAGUAAUAUAUGAUUGUCAAGUUUGACUUUGAUUGAGGAAGACUGUCCUUUUGUCAAUAGCUUUAGGUUGUUUUGAUUAAUGAUUUAGAUGAUCUUGAGUUCAGAGUGUGAAGAAGAAGUUCCGCACUACCAAAGCAAAUGUUGUAGGAGAAAAAUCAAUUGAUUUUCUGAGUUUUCUUCCUUUGAAAUACAUAACUCAAUGCCUAUCUGUUUAAUGUAUUGAACACCUUAUGGAGAAUAGACAGCUACCUUUGCGCCUCAUGACUUACUAUUUGUAGAUUUUUCCAAGUUAUUUAGAUGUCUAAUGUUGCUGUGUGUGUUAAGAAAAUUUAGGAGUAAUGUAAUCAAGCCAGGGAUCUACGUAUGGUCUAUCUUCUACAGAAUUUAAGAGAUCGAUGUUGGGCAGGCCACCUUAGCAAAUUGUUGACGCAUGUAUUAAUUAUUUUAGUUAGUAAUGUCUACGAGUGAUCUACUUGGUUGGUGUAAGAUCAUCUUCCUAACCAAUUUUCUAUCCUUGUUCUUUUAUUUAUCGAUUACUCUUGGGCCCAAUUUCAAUAUGUGAAAAUAUUAUUUUUCUACUUUACCAGGGUGUCCAUAUCCACAAUCUAAAAUAAUUUUCUAUAAAUUUAGAUAAUAAACUUUUCUAUCAUACCAUGAUGUAGAGAAUAUGCAGAUUCAUUUGGGACAAUAAUUUGAUAUUUUACAUGGAAAAAGCUACUGAAGGUUUUAACCAUAUAUCUGAUAUAUGAAAGAGCAAGACAGGUCGAAUUCCAAGAUUUUCAACAUGUAUUACAAUUUACUUGUAAGAAUUACGUAAUAUGAUUCUUUUCAUAGUAUACGGUUACAUUAGAUUAGAUUGCACCUUGUGAGGACCCGAAACUUGAUUUACAUGACAAUAGUUAUAAAACUGGAUCGGCCUGGCUAGUUUGAUUGGAAAACCGGUGAACCGGAUCCCUGGCCAGUCUGGUUUUUACCUGGGACUGUAAUUGUUUUUGGACUAGAUAGAACCCGCCGACCCACCCAUUUUCUUAGAAAAGGUGACCCGGUCCAAACCGAGUUCAAAAAUUGUAACUAAAAUGCAUUUAAAACAGUAUUCAAACCAGUGUCUUGUGAGAGGUUUCUAGCCGCUCAGCCAUUGGAGUAGACUUUGGGUCGGUAUGACUAUGAUUCUUAAAAUAUUUAUGGUGGAACUCGUUCAACUAUAUUAUCAUAUUUCGGUGAUAAUUUCAAAAGCUUAAUAGAUUCUACAUAUUUUCUAUAUUAUAUUUUUUAGUAAAUUUAAAAUAAAUUAUUCAUCAUUAUUUUCUAUUUAUAAUGCAAUUAAACAUUAAUAUAAAAUAUAGAUCUAUGUUAUUUAAAGUGUACUUUAAAAUAAACAAUUCAUCACUUAUUAUGCAUAUUUUUCUAAUAUUGUAGCUAUUAUUAUUAUUUUUUAAUUAUAACCUAGUCUGACUGAUUGACCCUGCAGUUGGACCAAUGAUGCCGUGGCAUGGACCCUUGACUGGGUCAGUCACCAGUUUGAUUUUAAUAACUAUGGUGAUGAGACCAUGACUGUUAACUUGCAUCAAUCACCAUGAUGACAUUGAUGGGCCAGAAGCAUCACCAAGAGAAAUUAGCUGUUCUCAACAGAGAGGAUUCAAGAGAAUAGCUAAGAGGGAGAAAGUUAACAACAUUAAGUAUUUGUUCUAUGGUUUGGAUUUUUGCACUUUUUUAAAAAAUACUAUAAAGUAUGAGGCUAUUCAUCAUUAUUCUUGAUUUUUUGUAUCCUCAAAUUUUCAUUUAAUAUAGUAGUUAUGGUUUACUUUUUCAAGCGGUGAUAAAAACAAGGGAUAUACUAUUAGAAAUUAAGUUGAUUUUGGAAGAAACUAUUAGUGUUGUUACAAUAUUGACCCCAAUGGCCAUACUUAGCUCGAACUUAAAAUCAGAUUGGAUGAAUUUGGGGUCCUGCACACAAAUGCAAAAGCUUUGAAGAGUAAGAUGUUUGGUGGUAGUCAUAUUGGUAACAUGGAGAGAUGUUUGUUGGUGAUGAAGUCAAUGCAGUUGCUUUCUUGGAGCUUGUUGUGAAGUGGGCAGGUAAGGAAGGUUUGCUGCUUGUAUCUGUUUGUUACAGUGAAAUAGGCUUUUUCACUUACAAUAGUUGGCAGGUCAACUUGCAAGAAUGAUUGGACCAUGAUAUGAAGUCAGAAGAUAAUCUGCUGUUUUUAUCAUCCAAUUUUUAUGUUAUGAUCAGUGGGGUAUCUUGUUUCAUCUGCUUUUAGGUUCCUGGCAUCGUCAGUCUCCAUUGGGUUGAUUUUCAGAAAAGGAUCCGUGCUGGAUUCCUUAUUUUUAGGAAAUUUAUAUUCCUCAUUUUGCAUGCAUUCUUUCAGGUGCUUGUGUCACUACAGGUAUGGAUAUGUCCGAGACCAUGCAUGCAUAUUUAUUGCUGUGUGCAGUUACAGCUGCACAUUAACUGCCUACAGAGUCAGCAAUUUUAGUAUCAUUUCAUAUCUUUUGAAAACAAAUUCCCACCAAAUUGAUUUAUAUAGCACGAGUUCAUUAUGUCUUCCCUUUAUUUUGUGAUUGGCAUGAGGGUUUCUCAUUAUGCUUAUUAAAAUUCAUAUGUUAUAGUAUAUUUAUACUGAUCGUAGCAUGCUAAAGCUAAUACUUCUGUUUGAAUUAUCUUUGAAGGAAGAAAUAUUGGAUGAAACAGACGAGUAUGUUGAUGUCCACAACAAGUAAGCCACAACCAUGCGAAUUCUCUGUUUUGCUGCAAAAUUUCUUAUUGUUUUCAAAGGGCUCAUGGUUUCCUUUUUAGGAUCAAAAUAAAUAUGUUACCACCAGGAAGAUCAUCACCGAGAUCUCCAGGAGCUGCAUAUAUCUCUCAUUUUGCACGACGAACGCCAACAGCUUCUCCCCUUUCUCCCUAUCAUCAUACUGCCAUGUCACGCUCACCUGUUUCUCCAAACGUUCAAGCUGCUGCUCCAACAUCAACCAUUUCAAAUUCUCCUGGAAAGUCGUCGCCAAGUUCACCAGCUAAUCAUGCAGGCCUAAGCCACAAUUCACCAGCUUCAAAUCGAGUAAGUGGAAUACUCUUCAGCUUUGCUUUGCGGGGGGUCAUUCUUCCUGAAUGUCUGAGAGCAUUAAUUGUUGAUGCUGCUACUUUACUGGAACUUUUUAUACUAUGGAACUGUUCAUUCAGUCAUUUUGAUUACUGCAUUUUUUUCACUCUUUUAGUUGACUGAUAUCUAUGUCACCAUUCUUUGUCUCUGCUCUAUUUUUUCUGGUUACUUUUGCCCCUGUUCUCUACUAUGCAAUUAACCUAAAUUAUUGUACAUGGGGUGUUUCAGAAAGGGAAUAGAUAUGUUGGUUCUCUUGUCAUAUAAGAGACUCGAAAAGGUUUCCGGCCUUCUAUUUGGCAUGCUGCAUCUGGAAAUGUGCUAGUCUCGCCACAACUACUACUCAUAACCUGUAAAUGUACUCCAAACACAUAUUAGUUGGAUCAUAAACCUUUAAUUUCUGGUUCCUCUUUACAACCUUUCAAAUUCACCAAUAGAAGAUAGGGUACUGUUUUUUCUUUAAAAAAAGGUACUUUACUGAAUAAAACACCUCGUGUGGUCAGUAUGUGGUUUGUGAUAGAAUUAGUUUUCGUGACUUUCUUGAAUGGUGGUUGCAUUUGUAUGGUAGUACAAUAACAAUGUUACUUGAGAUUGACUUUGAUGAAGAGUACCUUACUACUUUCUUGAGUAGUUCUUAUUGGUACCUUCAUGGACAAUGCUAGUAGUUCUUAUUGGUACCUUAAUUGACAAUGCUUGUUUUUCCACGUGUUUGAUUAGCUUUGCUGCAAACUAGCAGGUCUCGAGAAAAUCAUAUGAGAAGCUACAAAAAAAUGGAGAGAGCAAGGAUUGAUUGCCUAUGCCGGCAAGUUGAAAGUCACUUAGUUAUGAGUACAUGGAGGUUAUGAUGGUGAUAUUAUGUGGAUGUUGGAUCAAUAGUUUUGGAAUCACUAUCAGAUAUUAAUCUUAGCUCACUAUGUAAUAUGUAUAUUGAUUAUUGCUUUUGUAUAUAGCAUGUGUUGAAAAAUCAGUCCAAUUUGAUGUUUUCAUCAUUUUAAAUGUUUCUAAUGACUACUUAUGAUAAUUUUACUUUAUUGAAAAUGGGGGAAAGGAAAACAUAGGUUGCAAAUUGUGUUUUGAGAAUGUCUCAAUCAUAUCUGCAAUCAUGACAAUUGUAGUGUCACCUUGCAAAUGGCUUGAUCAUUUCUGUUCAUUUUCCAAGUAUUUAAUGAAUAAUAAUGUUUCCUCUUGGGAGUUUGUGGUGAUAUGGCACGAUUUGUCAUUACCAUGUCAGAAAUAUCACAAUCAUCAUUAUCAUCAUUGUUCUCAUUUAAGAUUGAACAACAGUGCCAAGGUCAAAAACAGUAGUUUGAUUGCCUUGUUAACCUUAUUCCAAGUUUCUGGUGCAUAACUCAGCCUUAUUUGGUGCUUUCAUUGUUGUAGUUUACCCAAACUGCUGAGAUAUGGAUCAGAUGUAUAUCCACCAUAUCCACAUGCGUUUUAUUAUCAUGCUAUAAGGAUAUAAUUUAAAUGUAAAUUUCAAUGUUGAUUAUUGGUAAGGGAAUACAGAAACAGGUUGGAUAUAAGUAAGAAUAAUAACAGUUGGCGAUGAAAUGAAGCAGGAUAGCAUUCAUUGGCAACCUUCCGUUCAAAAAGGAACCGCAUGAACUGUAAUUGGAUGCCAACAAUGGCUAUAUCCGACAUUAACAAAUGUGGAUUACUAAGGCAUUCAUACAUGGGUUACCUAGGUAUCAGGAAAUGUCAUCAAUCUAAAACUAAUAGCUGGAUCCGAUAAAAUAUGGGGAUGUUUAAUGAACUUAUGUGUAUUUUGUGCACGAAGGAAAAUUUGUAACAAUAGCAGCAAGAUUUGAAUGCUGACGAAGUUAGAUGGCGCAUUUUAUCUAUGUGGCUGCAUGUAUUUUGUGGAAUCCCAGAUGCUGAGAUAAUAAUAUGUGAAUCUAGAUAGAUUCAGAACCUGUGGAUUCUAAAUUUAAUGAGAUAUAUUGGUAGAAUACUUUAUUAAAAAUUUAAUAUUUAACAUGUACCCUGGCAUCUAACACA